This 52807-nucleotide long non-coding RNA is filed under the name Ananas comosus (pineapple). Its description in RNAcentral is "long non-coding RNA (ACOM_LNC028692)". The record is from RNAcentral. Lineage: Eukaryota; Viridiplantae; Streptophyta; Magnoliopsida; Poales; Bromeliaceae.
UUAAGUUUUUUCAUGGUACGUAAUUUUGUUGUGCAGGUCUCGAGGAGGAGGAGGAAGAGAUGGAGGAGGAGGAGGUGAAGGGGAGGAGAGAGUGGAGAGCAUGGUGGUGCGGGGUAUUGGAGAUUAGAGGCGUUCGUGGUGACGGAGCCCGGGGAGGUGGCGCGGGCGAAGAAGAACGGGCUGGACUACCUCUUCCACCUCUACGAGCAGUGCCGCCUCUUCCUCCUCCAGGUCCAGUCCCUCGCCAAGGAGCACGGCCACAAGUGCCCCACCAAGGUAUAUAUAUAUAUAUAUUAAUAUUAAUUUCGUACGUGUGUGCGCGCGCGUGUAUAAUCUAUAUAUAUAUAUAUAUAUAUAUAUAUAUCAUAUCAUGCAUGCUGCUGCUGCAGCAUGCUAAUUAGCUGCUACUAAUAAUUCCGUAUACGCAAAUAUAUAUUAUAUGCAUGCUUACACCACCCCCCACACACACCAACACGCACGUGCACCGCCUAGCUAGCUAAGUGCAUUCAUUCGUUCAUCCGUUCCUUCGUCAAAUAAAAUAAAUAAAUAAAUAAUGAGAAUCAGCUACCUCCAGAUGGGCAUAUCGCAACUAGCCACGCGUCCCUAUGCUGCUAUCUACAGUUCUUUCUAAAAUAAAUCAAUAAUAAUAUAAUAUGAAAAUAAUAAUUAAAAAAAGACGCACGUACCACCACAAAAAAAAAAGAGAAAAGUACAGGGUCCACAUAGUAAAACUGUGAUAGAACAGGGACCAUCAUUUUCCUAAUAUUUAAUUUAAUUUAAUUGAGAUUGGAGGGAGUUGCGAGGCGACGUACUCGUUGCUAGCUAGCGCCGGAGUGGAGUCUGGGUGCAUGACUGGGUGGGGUGAUGAUAGAUAGAAAGAUGGAUAGAUGGAUGGAUAGAUGGACAGAAAAGCCUGCGUACGGACGUGUGCGCGUCGGGCGGAAGAAGUGGCCGACGUGUCGGAGAGCGAUUGGACGGAAAGCUGUGGGUGGCUUUGAGGGGGGGGGAGGCAGCCGUGAGUUGUCUUGUCGGGGCCUGACAAUUGCAUUUUCUCGGGGACGCCCCGCUGUUGGGCGGCCGCCACGUGUCCACGGAAGUGACCCGGGCCCCACGCGCGCGCUCCCGAAUGAGUGCGCAGCGGAUCUCCGAGACGGAGCACUGUUGCUGCAUCAAGAUUCGCACUAAGUCACAGUGUAAGUGUCGCCUGUGAAUCCACAGCGUUGACCGCGCGGCCGAUGUUUUUUGCAUUGUGUGGUUUUCUUUAAAACGUACCCUGGAAUGAUUAUUAGAAAAUUUUUGUUCAGUUUGGAGCAAAGCUCAAGUUAGAGGAUAUCCAGAACAAUAACAAUUAAGAUGCAUGCAUGCAAAAGUAAUUUAGCGUCUUUAAGCCUCCGUUUGGUUCGAAGUUAAGGAAAAAGUAGCUAUUCCAGAGAUAGGGUUAAAUUCAGGGUUAAAGCGGGAUUAAAAUUUUUUUGUGUUUGGUUGGGGGUUGGAAUUAGUUUAGAAUAAUGAAAAAUAGUGUUUGGUUGGAGUAGGUGGGAUAAGAAGAUAAUGAUUGAUAAAGAAGAAUAAUGAUUGAUUGGAAUAAGUGGGAUAAGAAGAUAAUGAUUGAUAAAGAAGGAUAAUAAUUGGUUGGAGUAGGUGAGAUAAGAAAGAUAAUGAUUAAUAAAAAUAGUAAAAUUAUUAAAAUAGCCUCACUGUAAUUAUUUAAAAUAAAUAUUUUAUUUAUUGUUUUAAAUAUUCUAUGUUUUGAGAGCCGUGCGGGGAGAGGGCGGGUGGGGUUUACUAACCCCACCCCAAACUGGGUUUAUCUGAUAAAAUCUGACGAUUUUAUCAGAUAAACCCAAACUCGAUUUUAUCAGAUAAACCCAAACUCGAUUUUAUCAGAUAAACCCAGUUUGGGGAAAUGCUUGCGUUUGGGGAUUAAAUGGGGGUUAAGGGGUUAUUCCACCCCCUAACCCCCAACCAAACGCAAGCUAAAUAUUCCAGCUGAGCUGAGUGUGGUAGGAUUGGUACCUCGAGUCGAGUUCUAGUUAUGUGUGGAAUCAUUUGUGUUUGGGGAUGCAGGUGACAAACCAAGUGUUCCGGUACGCGAAAAAGGUCGGGGCGAGCUACAUCAACAAGCCAAAGAUGCGGCAUUACGUGCACUGCUACGCCCUCCACUGCCUUGACGAGGAGGCGUCGAACGCCCUGCGGAGAGCCUUCAAGGAGCGCGGGGAGAACGUCGGGGCGUGGCGGCAGGCCUGCUACAAUCCGCUGGUCGCCAUCUCCGCGCGCCACGGAUGGGACAUCGACGCCGUCUUCAACGCCCACCCCCGCCUCUCCAUUUGGUACGUCCCCACCAAGCUCCGCCAGCUCUGCCACCUCGCCCGCAGCAAUGCUGCUGCUGCAGCAUCAGGACUCCCGCCGCCGCCGGCGCUGUUCUAGAUGGUGUUCAAGGAGAUUUAGGGUUUCUCCUGGGGUUUGCUGGACUUGGAUUAGAUGUUAGGUCCUUUGUGUACUCCUCUGGAUCCAACAAUGAGAAAGCUUUAUGAUGUAUUACUUAACUGAAUGCAGAACCAGGAACUUGGUUUAAGUACUAUAUACACAAGCUUUGGUUAUUCUAGAUCUUGCUUUAGGGACAAGGAUGGUUACUACUUAAUCAAUUUGUCGACUCUCCGCUGAAAUUUGUAGGUAUGGGAUGUGGUGCAAAAGUUUCUCUAAAUUCAUAAAAACCUUAUUUAUGAAAUAAUCCCCACCAAAAGCCCCUUAUGCGCUGGCAAAAUCAAAACUACGUUGAAGAUGAUACUCCCUGGAUUAUAACAUUGGCAACACAUUGUCCAAAAAUAACUACCAACAAACAUGGUUCUCCUAAAUACAUUACAAGAAACAAGCAAGAAAAUCAUUGGAAAGAAAGGUGUAUCAUUGAAGACCAGAUCAAAGUGGAAGCAUCAAGAUCAUCAAAACCUACCCGUAAACACUGCCCUAAUUUUCUUCAGAAAGAAUUCUAGAGUUCGCAAAUUAAUCAGUGAUCUUGAAAUUCCCCUCAAAUGCUUGGAUUCUAUCAUAUAUCACAUCAAGCUCUCAACACCCCUUAAGUUACUUUUGAGGUUUGGGCAUCAAGAUAUGUGAUUCAAUGCAUUCAGAGCAUGUCAAUGUUGCAGAACUUACAACUAUGUAAUCAAUAUAUGAUAACACCGAGCUUAAAAUCAGACAUCAAACUACAUAGACAUCAACAGGUAGCUCCUUGCUAAAGAAGGACGGCGACCAAACAGCUAUAAAAAGGACAAUAUUAUUAGAACAUGAAUGCCGAAUCAAAGGUUGCAAAUGCACUCAAUAUUCGAAGACACAAAGCUGAAUUACUCCUACGCAGAUAUGAAUGAUGUAAAUCACUAGAGUUGCAUAUUAAAGUACAAGUAUGUCGAAGAAUCACAUCAAGAGACUCAACACAAAAUCUUACAAAGAAAAGUAAGGUGAGCCGCUACUAAUAAAGAGAUUCUACUGUCCCUUCUGAUGUUCUGCAUUGAGUCUCUCCUAUUUUUUUUUAAAAAAAAAACAUCUCAGUGAGGAAAUAGCUCACCUUAUAUUAAAUGUUUACGAUAACUCUCUUCAUUCCUCAUCUGCGGGUUCCUCAUCUGUGUGGGAGACGGCAUGUGUUGGGUACCUCCACAUCACGUCGGCCCACGUACUUUGCCCGUCCGUGACCUCCUUGACAACUGAAGCAACCUCUUCGAUGUCUACACGGAUCUGCUCCUUGCUGUCCCGAUCACGGAUCGUCACACUCGUUGUGGAAUCCACAGUGAUAGCCAAGGGAACACCAAUCUCAUCCGUCCUAGCAUACCGUUUACCUAUUGAAGUACCUGAAAAGUAGUCCAAACAAGAGUGAUAAAGAUAGUUGAAACCAUAAUCCAUUCAAGGUAUUCAAUUGGGUCUAUGGUGGGAGGAAGAACACAAGCAAAGCCAAAACCAAGAAAUAGGUGCUUAAUGUAGGUUAACUUGUACAGCGGCAUGUCUAAGUGAACAAAUCUUAUAUAUUGCAUUUGCUAACUCUGACUACAGUAAAUUAGAUAUGUAGCCUCAACAAAGUAGCUUGGCGGUCGACUUGAGAACCAAAAUAAAAAAAUUAUGCUAACGAAAAAGCAGCAGGAAACAAGAUUAUCAAACAAUGAAGACUAGUAAAAUACCAGCAAAUCAACCCAGUUUAUCAACCACCCUAAACAAUUUGUUUCACACUAGCAUAAAACUUUAUGUAGGUUAAAGUACGAUAUAUUAUUAAUAUGUACUUUUCUGGGAUUGCCAUACACACCAAAAUCAUUUAACAUCUAUAUUAAGACAAACAGAACUGGUGCAAAAGGAUGCACUUAAUUAGCCUGUUAUUUAUGUUUCUCUAACAUACCUGUAAUGUCAAUAAUAUGUGAUAUACCAGCUGUUGUCAACGCUUUCGAAAUCUUUUUGGCAACAACAUCAAACUUCUCAAUUUUCACCAACGGAAAGACCGUGCAUUUAAUGGGAGCAACAAGUGGAGGGAAUCUGAAUACAUUCAACUGCUCAUCCUCUGCCUUGCUUGGCCGUUGGUAGAAACAGUGUUCAAAAAGGCAGUAUAUUAUUCUCCCAAUGCCAAAAGAUGGUUCAAUUACAGAAGGUGUAAAAACCCUUUGGUGUUCCUUUUUCUUCUCCAUUGAAAUAGAUACCAUGUUUUUCUUUAUGGUGACACUUUUGUUGAGAGUGCAGACAUGGAAUUCAACCUCCCCUUUGGACUCCAAAGCGACUUUCAUUUCCAAAGCUUCAGUUUCCUUCAUGGCCUGUAAAGCCGUGAUAAGUUACAAGAGAAACAACAAAGCAAUUAGAGAAAUACUGAGUUCCCAGAAGUAGAUUUUGAGAAGAAAUAGUUGCUUACUUCGAAUGCUUCAAUCACCAUCUUCUGGUUGCCUUUAAAUGCUAGUCCCAGCUCCUUCUUUGACGGGGUUAUAACCAAUUUCUGCAAUCAGUGAUGCCAAGAUAUAAACACGUUGACAGAAACAAAGAUCUGUCAUCAACAAAAGAGAUGGCAAACUAACUAAUAGAAGCGCUUUCAGACUCCCAAAGGAUGAUAAAGUACAACAAGCAUGGCACAAUGCUGCGGGGAAAAAAAUGAUGAUAUGUUGAAAAUAUGGUACAAUGUUUCACGGACAUAGCAUCUCAAGAAGAUGGAACAAAGGAGAAAAAAUAGACAAAAAGAUACUCACCUCAACCUCUCUAGGUUCUGGAAACUUCUCAUGCGCAACAAGUGGUACACCACUUUUUUCCUGUUAAAGAACAUUAGUGACUUAAAUUAGUAGACAACAUUAUGCGUCUCAUUGAAAGGAAUGAGAUAAUCUCGAAUAUAUAACAAGCAAUCCUUCUCCACUGUAUUCGAGAACUAAAAGAGGAUUGCAAACAACAAAAUUACAAGGAGAACUAACAGAUUUAUGUAGACAUGCAAUAUGCAGCAGAAUAUAUAUAUAAGAAAACUCAAGAUGGUAGAUUGAUCGUCCUUAGCCCAAAGCUUAGCCAGAAAAGAAAGGUAUAUUGGCCAACUAGCUAUGGAUCAAUUGCAACUGUGUACAUAAUCAAUCUCGAAAGUCCAAUAGUAACGCAUACCGAGUGAGCCCGUAGGUCGUAUGCGGACCUAUCAGCAAUACCAACACACUCAAUCCAGCCAUACGAGCACUCAAUUUCCGCAUCCCAGCAAUCAGCAGCAUAAUGAGCCAUCUCAUUUGGUAGAUGUUGCCGGAAGCGCAGACGGUCCUUGUCAAUUCCAAGUUGAGUCAAGAAAAGGUAAACCCUUCCAAUAAAGUAGCCAAGAGUUUCAUUGUUGAUGGUUCCCUGUCAAUGGUUAUAGUAAGCAGGCAAACUUUAAUAGGCAAAAAGAGACAUCCAAUAAAUACCCCCCAUAAAAAUUAUCAAUUGCUGUAUAUACAAAUAUCCCUGCAAAAUUGGAAUUUUCUUACAUGCCAGUCAAAAAAUCAAUUUCUUAUUUAUGUACCCUUGUUCUUACAAUAAUGCCCCCCUUUUAAAAAACCUUUUCUGAUAUGAAACCAACUUAGUCUCAUGGAUCAGAUGAACCUCAUGUUAAGAUAAAAAUACUCAUGCAAGAAACAGCACUUUCGAGGGGCAUAUAUGAACAUUCAGAUUGUAUAGGGGUUAUUAAGUACACAGAUAAGUAUAUGAUUCUGCAAGGAUACAUAAAUAAUUAACUGGUUGCAAACAUCAAUGCAUGAGGCAUAUGAGUUCAGUAUCAAAUGUGGCCAGAAAAUGAAAUAAAUCAGCUUAAGACAACAAACCUUAGAGACAGCUUCUCCAAGUUUUUUCUUUACGGCAGAUUUCCCUGUGAGUUGCUCCUCCCUUGGGAACAUCAAGAAUUCCAAAUCAGCAACAUCACCAAACUUUGGGUGAGAUUUAUCUUCGGGGUCAACAAAGUGCUCAAUCUCAGCCAGAGUGAAUUCACGGACCCUCAAGAGACCUUGACGGGGUGAUAUCUGAUAACCAAACAAGAUGCAGUUUGUUUACAGCAGGUACAGUCUAACCAGAGAUGCGACAAGUCAGUAAAAUAACACAUUGCCGCAUGUAAUGAGAAUUAACAAAAUGUUCGGACUUCUAGAAACAGAAACCUGAAUGGACAAUCCGAUAUCAAUUGACCUAAACUAAAAAGGAUGUUUCCUUAUGACUAUAGAUUGAAAUUUGAAGCAGCAAGACACAACACUGAGGCGAUCCAAACUAGUGCUCUACGAAAAACUGAAGGUGAAUAGCACACCAAAAUGAAAUAGAUAACUCAUUUCAAUGUUCUUCUGAUAAAGAAUCACAAAAGAUGAGGCACUCCAACUACCGAUCUCACCUCUUGAGGAAGAUGUAAGAAACACAAGUUACAACUAGGUUCGCAAGACAAGAAAAAACCUGUAUCUAAUAUCCAUCAGAAAUAGAACUAUUAGCAUCCAUCAGCAUGCGUAGUUACAACAGCCCUAUUUAAUAAGAUAAAGCACCAUUCUUUAAACACAAUGGCACAAAUCAAAUUAACAAGAAAAGCAUUUCACAGGAUUGAAGGACUCAAACCUCAUUCCUAAACGCCUGACCGAUCUGCGCAGCUGCGAACGGAAGUUUGUUACCAUUGUAGUAAUACAAGUCUUUAAAGUUCACAAAGAUUCCCUGCGCUGUCUCCGGUCUCAUAUAUCUAUAACCAACGAAGACAUAUUACGACCAAAUUUAAGAUAAACUAAAUGAAUGCAACUUAAAAGCUCAAUAUCCUCACCCAGGACUCAAACCCGACGGACCAAUGGACGUCUGGAACAUAAGAUUAAAAGGGUAGGGAUCCGACAGCGGGUUCUUAGUGUCGGGAGCAGUAAUCCCGUACUCCUUUAUCUUCGCGCCCAUCUCCUCAGGGGAGAGAUCAUCCAACACGGCGAGAACGUGCUGAAACUCUGCCGCCUUCUCCGGCGGCAGCAAUGCCGCGUCCUUCUCGAGCUUCUCCUUGCAGAAGUCCUUGAUCAAGUGGUCGGCCCGAUAGCACGUGCCGGUCUUCUCAUCCUUAACCAUCAAGUCCGUGAACUUGUCCACAUGGCCGGAGGCCUUCAAGACGACCUCCGGCGUAACGCAGGGGCAGUCCACCUCCAGCAUUCCCUCCUCCAACACAAAAUGCUGAGGCACAAACAAUGCAGUGCAGCAGUAGAGUGGGAAUUUUACUCGUCAGUCACUAUCUUAACAACAAAAUAAGCUCCAUCUCCAAUUAUGGUAAUUUUGCUACCGAAUUCGCUACCUUAAUAAUGCAAGCUAGCAAAUGCUCGGGAAGGAAUUUCUUACUCCGUAUUAGAUAAAAAGGGGGCAAAAACCUACUUGGGAGAUGGAGGUGGCCGCUUAAUUGUUGGUUCCGAAUCAAAGUUGCGAACACGGUGCAGUAGCAAACAUAAAAUUCAAGCAUAAUUUAGUGAAGAGAACGAUUAGUAACUGAGAAUCGUCGUCGCCGUUGCCCUGGCCUGUUUAGGUGAAGAUCGAGAUGGUGAAUGAAUUACCUGGCGCCAGAAGGCGAGGACGUUGGACUUGACGGCGCAGCCGGGGGGGCCGUAGUCGAAGAGGCCGGCGACGCCGCGGUAGAUCUUGAAGGAGGGGAUGUAGAAGAGCCGCCGCUCCAGGGUGUUCACCACGGCCUGCCGGAGCGCCUCGCGCCCCGCCACCGCCGCGGCGGCGGAGGACUGGAUCUGGCGGGAGAGGGCGGCGGCCUCGAGCUUCAGGGCCUUGAGUGCGUCCACGGCGGCGUCGAUCUCCGCCCUGCCGGCGCCCGCCCGGGCCUUCAGGGCGCGCACCGCGUCGCCCUGCGCGUCCACCGCGGCCUGCUUCUCCGCAAGCGCCUCGCGGAGGGACACCGAAGAGGCGGAGGCGGAGGCGGAGGCGGAGGCGGAGGAAUCCAUCCCUUCUGCUGCUCCGGCGGCGGCGGCGGCGGCGGCGGAGGAGAAGGGGAGGAGGAGGAGGGUUUUAGAAGGGGAUCGGGGUUUGGGAACGAGGGAGGAGGAGAAAAGGAGGAGCGCGAGGCGCAUGAAGGAUUGGGAGGGGAAGUGGAAUGGCCGAAUGGGAACGGGGGAGGAGAGUAGGAGUACGUGGCGCGACGUGAAGAUGCCUAUAACUCGUGUAUUUUCCCUUACCAAGUGGGGACAAGGGGAUCGGAGGGUAAGUUGAUCCGACCCGGAUUCCAAGUGAUCCGAGCUUUCGAACUCCGAAUCUCCGAUCGGAUCCAACCUAAUUAGCCCACCCGCUGAGCAAGUGAGCAUAAUGUUGACGUUAAUUCUUAAAGUUAUGUAAAAUUAGAUUCCUUGUUGACUUGUUGUGUCCUUUUUGUGUCGCUUGAAAUUUUGAGCUCUCCUAAGGCUAUCUACUUCGUGCCAACUUGACCAAUAGCUCAGUUAGCCCACAUGUAGCUCGUUUAUACCAGUUUACCCCCCCCCCUCUCCUCUCUCUUCCCCCCUUUUUUUUCUUUAAAAAAUAUAAAUUCAACUAAAAAUAUAAUACAAUUAUACUCCGAACUUCAAAUCUCAAUACCAACUAUCAAAUUUUUAACCACCUAUAUUCGAUACGAUUAACCACUUUACCGCUUGUUAAAAAGCAUAACACCAAUAUUUGGUUACAAGUUCGACUUUCCGUAGCAAUCUAACGACAAAAUAUCGCUCAAACUUCAAUUUGUGACAAUCAUUUCACUCACUAAAUCAUUACAUAUGUAGGAACUGACUAAGCAAAAAGUAAACCACAAGAUCAGCAAAAAUUGGCCCAAACCGUACUUCUACAGAAAGAAGGGCUUAGAAUAAGAUUUCCUUCAUGAAAAAGAAAAAAAAAAAAAAAAGAAAGUCGAUCGAUACAACAGCACGAGAAUUGGAAUUCAUUCACAAAUUCCCUGAGACGAAUUUUUCUCUGUAGGGAAAAGUACUUGUUCGCUUUCUCAAAGGGAGAGGAAAAUGGUAAAAUUGACACAGCCUAAACAAGGUAAAGAAUAGAGGGGACCUGUAGAGACCAGUACUAGCAUAUACAUACGGUUAGAAGGAAGGGAAGGGCGAGCCACCGAAAGCAAAAUGAAACAAUGGAGGAAAUAUGACACAUCUGCUAUAAUUUCGAUGAGCUAAAAACGGAGGGGAAAAAAUAUAUAGAUAUAUCAAUUUAGCGGCUGAACAUCUCUCGUCCUCAUGUAACUCAUGAACUGUCCCGGCAACUCAGCGAGAAGUGAUUGAACCACCGACAUCUCUCCAUCUGCAAGUGAAGAAACUGGUAUCCUUAGUUAAUUUUCUCUAUCAAAUUUACAAUCUUUCAACUUUGAAAUCAUUUUCCAAUUUGAUAUGUAGUAAGAAGUGACACUUGCAUUGAAAAAAACCACUUUGAGCAAAGGAUGCGAAAAGUAGGAUGCAUGUACAUACGCUGUACAUCCCGUAAAGGAACAAACUGCACUAUAUCUCGUGAUGCAACCCGUCCGGUUGAACUUUCAAGUCUCUCUCCUUUGUCUGCGUCUAGAAUCUGCGACAGCAAAAUAGCACGAUCAGAACCCAGGCUUUCAAUAAAGAAGAGCUUUCUUGCCGCGCUAGUUAGUUCUUGAAACUUCUACUAGAGUGGUAAAAAGAAACAGCGAGUAUAAUCUCACAUACCUCCAUUUCUUUGAAAUCAGCCCCACCAACUCCAACAAUGAGGAUCGACAAAGGUAGAUCGGACGCCUUGACUAAAGCAUCUUUAGUUUCUUGAAGAUCUGUUAUCACCCCAUCCUGGACCGAAGUUUUGUUGGUACGUAAAUUAGCAACUGCAUGUUUAAGAAUAGAGACGAGUACUCAGGUUAGUACAAGAGUUACCGUGACUAUUAACAGUACAAAGUACUUUUGUCGUCCGCUAGUGAAGGAUCGGCUUGCAAUCGAUGCAGCAGUGUUGAUUACUGGGCCAAAAAGGGUAGGGCCCGCCAGUGACACAUUGUAGAGGGCACUGAUAUAUGCAGACAUUAUACCUUGAAUCCCCUCAACCUAAGAUCAAUCAGAUAUGGUCAGAUUUUUUACAAACUUGAUUGAGCCUAGAAGAUAAGUAGAACCACACGAUAAAGAAGAAAGACUAAAAUAUUCUUUAUUCUUAAAACAAUGAAGACCAGAAAAAAGUAGACCAAAUUUCCUCCCAAAAUCAGAUGGAUUAAUUUUCUCUUUUGAAAUAAAUAAAUAAAUGCCAAUUGAAUCACGCCUCAUUGAUCUGUAAAUUGUAAUAACAUAAUGAAAAGAAAAGAACCUCAGGUUGGUAGGUGCUUCCAUUCAAGUUAAAACAAUGAGAGACUGGACCGUCGAUCGGUCUUGCUCCAAAACCCCAGGCAGGAAAUCGUUUAUCCGAGUCAUAAAAUUGCAAGACGUCUCCAACUUCUAAUAUUGCCUGCAAAAAAAUAAAAAAAUAAAUCAAGUUGCAGGUUAUACAUCACUUGUGCAGAACUGCAGCUAACUACACUCUGACGAAAGAAAUGCAUCAAACAAUUCCUCACUCUCUGAUAUGCAUUCGGCCGACCUGUGGGAUCAAUGUAAUGCAAGGAAUCUGGGAGGCGUGGAUUUCCAUUUGAAGCUAGCAAACAACAAAGAUCUCUGUUAACAUGAAUACAUGAUUAUAAAAAAUAAGGAUAUAUUAGUUUGUCAAAUAUGAAAGUAAUGUAAAACUCACUAAAUUGGAGAAGCAUACCUGUGAAGUCUACGGCAACCAUGAAAUUCAUUUCAAAUCCACCAGCAAUAUAAUCAAGGAAGGUCUGCUGCUUGCUCUCAGUGAAUUUCUCCACAUAUAUCUGACUCGUCAAAACCUAUAAGCAAGAGAAAAAACUUGUAUCAACAAAAAAAAAAGGAAGAAAACUUUGAUCAUAUUCUGCAAAGGAGUGUUCAACUUACAGCAUUCCUGAUUGUUACCUUAUUAUGAUGAUCAUGCCCAACACCAGUGGGGAAAAACAAAUUCUCACCACACUGACUAUGAUGAAGGCUUUCCAACUGCGCCAACGAUUUCACCACUUUGCUGUCAAAUAACAUGGAAAUAAUUCAGAGAAAAGGAGGAAAAACACUUGGAUUAACAAGAAGCCAUAAAUGCAACAAGCCAUUACCCAAUCAAAUCAUGUUUGCCAUUGCUAUUGAAGUUAAAGCACUCUAUAUUUAGAGGGUUUUCCUGUAAUGUGACAGUUGAUUGUUAGACAAGUAAUUAAAUCAGACCCUUCAACAGUUAGAUAAAUGUCAAAUAAGCUAGUCCGUAGUGGUUGGCACAGCUAUAUUACUGCAGGGAUGUUCUAUUUUCAGAUCCUGGAUGGUCUGCGAAAUUUGGCGGAGGUGAUCUUUGCAAAAUGGUUGGCAGUGAUCCAACCUCCAUUUCAGCAGACAACGGAGAAAAAGAGAAAAGAAAAGAAUGGUCGUGCCUUGCUUCCAAUUUGUUGGAGAUUCAUAACCAUCGGCUUCCAUAAAGGAUUUAGGUCGUUUUUCCUUACUUCUGUCUUGCAAACUGGAAUGGCUACACCACUCUCCGUUAUCUUCGAUAUAAGUAAGAAAGGAUCCUGAAUUGAAGACAAUUCAGCAUCAGUACAAUUCUUUGCUUUCUGUAAAUAUUUCUCAAUAAAAGAAGACAGAAAUUUACGCUUUUUGAGAAGAGGUCCUUAUUUUCUAAAUCCACACAGCGGAAAACCAUCUCCACCAUGGUUUUUGAACCAACACACUCUUCUGCAUGAACAGUCAAUGUGCCAAACUUUUUAGGAUGUGGUCCUUGCUGCUCCCUAUGGUCAAGAUUUAGAGUCAACAAUCCAGUUGGUCUAGUAACAACCUGCACAAGAACCAAAAACAGCUAAUAUUUUUGAGAAAUAAGCAGCACAAAGUGAAACAUACAAUACAAGAAUAACUUAACGGAAGUCACAAAUAGUUAUUACAAAGCAAUGAUGAACUUUCCGAUACUGUAAAAUAAUUAUCUUUACAUUAUGCAGAAAAUAGAAGAGCAGGAGUCGCCAAAACUACAUAGAUUAAGCAAGAAAAUUAGUCUAAGCCAUAAGCCAUAGGAUUAGUCGCCUAAACCUGUAUACAUUGCUUCACAAAACAAUGCAGAUGAUUCCUCAGAUAAGUAGUUAGUCAAUCUAUGCCAAUAUAUAGGUGUAUAACACACAAUGUUCUACUUCCUACUUCAUGUUCCAACCUACUAAACAGAGGUUAGAUGACACAAUGGGGUGUUGUAUGCUUUACUUUUCCAAAGAAAAAUAAUAUAAAACAGCCAAUAUUUUUGCAAGUUAACAAUAAUUUGUAGAUUUCAGAUUUUAUAUGUUAAUAACAAGCUUUGGCUGGUAUGACAAGUGAAAAGUGCAUCUAGUAAUAUCUAGACCCAAGAAAUCCAGGUCUAGGAUGGGCAAAGCUUCGGCCGUUUUAAAUUUGCCCAAUAGGGCCCAACCCAAACUGGAAAUUUCUUGUAGCUAAUUUAAGCCCAAGCUCAGUCCAAAUUGAUUGGGCAAUUGAUGCCAUGGAGAGAGAAAAUCUCAGGCAACUCAAAAAAAAAAAAAAUGGUCCGGAUUUUCUUGGGCAUCCCAGCCUGGCCCUGUGAACCUCAUUAGGCUUAACCAAAUCAACACUUAAUCAGGCCGCACAGACCGGGUCAGGCUGGUCAGGUCAAAUUUUCUCAGGUCUGCUUACAUCCUUGCAAGACACAGAAUAUAAUGAUAAACUUGGAUAACACAAAUACCCAUAAUGCAGAUGUUUGAGAACUAAUUGCACAUGAACUUAAAGCAAGUCACUUCAAUUGUAAACUUCACCAACGUGAUUUAUGUAUGAUACCUCAGAUAGAAGACAUUGAGCUUCUCCAAGAAAUUGUUGUUCCUCCAACUUAAGCAUCUGCAUGGCGUGAAUUUUUUAACAAUUAUUAUUGUACAUUGACUUAAAAAACAGCAAAAGCCAUAGGAAACUUGCGCUUUGUAAAAUAAUCAUAAGGUAUAAAAAUUGCUUGAUACUAUACCAUAAAAUAAAAUGUAGAGCAAUGCAGAAAAACUCAAAUUGCUAUCAAACUGUCAGCAAGAAACCUAAAAUGAUAGAGACCUAAAAUGCAUGUAUCCAAUUUGCACCAAACUUUCCUCGGUAGAACUGUCUCAGGAGGUUUUUAACAAAGAAACCUAGAAUUGGAAAGAAAUUCUAUUUUUACAAAAUUUUCGGAAAAUGGAUAUGCAGAACAUAGUAAAGUAAUUAGAUGCUAGGCAACCAGCCAAAUGACCAAUAGGCAAUAUUCAUGAAAUUUCAGUAAAAUACUUCACCAAUCAAACAGUGCAACAGGCUGCAGCCCUGCUAGACAGCCCUACACCAAAAAGGUAAGGGUUACUAGUCGAUGAAUACCAUUAACCGACUGAUCUACUGGUAUCUGCCUCUGAGGAAGAACAAGUUUUUCUGGAAGCUUUUCUACAUAAGGGUUCCGCUUGUCUGAUGUUUCUCAGUAAAGGAUCGCUGCAUGGAUAUUAUAUUUGUUAUCAGGAAAGAAGUCUACAAGAUUAGAGACCUUUCUUUUUAUUUCUUUCUCACAGCCCAUAGGACUAUAGGAGUCCAAAUCUCUGUUUAUUAUCUGAGAUGAUGCAUAUUCAGUAAAUUAUUGUCAGCAGCUAUAACAACAAAAUCAAAGAACAACUAACCAUUUAACUUCAAAAUCAGCAAUAUUCAAAUAAAAAAAACAAUAUGGAAAUAUGAAAAAUAAAAUAGACAGAUAUCGAAUUACCUUCUCUGGCACAUUAUGAAACUGUGAAUCAACAUCAUAUACCUGAAACCUGUGACAUACAGUAAAUUUACAGAUAACGAUGAAAAUGUAAUUAAUACAAUAAAGGAAAAAAAAAAUAGUAGUAAUGAUGCUUAAAAGAAGGAGCGUCUACACUGUUAAAAACAGUCCUUAGAUGUCGAUAGUGUAGAAGCUUACACCAAUGGCUGAGUAACCUCAAAUUGAUAAUUCACAGUGAUCUUCGUAAUCCAUGAAGGAUUCAGUGAAUUCAAUAUUACUUCUGAGCGACCAAUCUCUUCAAGAGUUCCAUCUCUUCUCUUUGCAAAAAUGACGGCCAUAGGGUCACUCUACAAAAAUAAAUCUGGAUCAUAAGUGAAAUACAUGCGCAUAAUUGUAUUACUGGCAAUUGAUAGCAAUUGAAAAACACUAAAGAUGGUUAUAUUACCGGUAAUUAAAUGUAAAUAGGAGAAACUAAAUAUAUAACAAUAAUUGAUAGCAACAAGAGAUAUCAUUAUAAAGAACUUGAUAAUUCCACAAUUAAAUAAAAAUAACUCAACCAGAAAAUCAUAUAAUUCUUCAUACUUCACAAUUAGCAAGGGAACAAUUGAUGUCGAUUCCAUGUACUCGUGGAUGCCAAUUGUAACAAGACAAACUAGAAAUAAGUUGUGAGGAAACUAUGUACCAGCAAAAGGAUAGAGAAAAUUAGAAAAGAUAGAACAUGUAAGAACAAAGAAAAGGAUGCAUGCAUGUAUGACAACCAAGUCAAAUAGAUCGAUAACCUUGUAAUACAAGUUGGAGUAUAAAGCUUUGUACUAAUUGCAAGAUAGAAAUCACUCGGCAAAGAAAAGAAAUUAUACCUUUGAAAAGACGUCUUGAUCAAGCAAGUUCGCUGCAGAUAGCGAUAGCUGUACAGGAUAAUAUGCAAGUCAGUAUCAAUAUAGCUGAGCAUUAACAUUUCACUAGCACAUCCUAACUAAGCCAGAGAACUAAGUUUCAAACAAAAUUUAGUAGCAGUACUUCAGGAUGAAGCUCUUGGGCAUCUCUUCUGAGCAAUACAGUGUUAGAGGUGACACAAAAAGUGCCAUGCCAUUUCUAGACAGUGGGGUCCAAACUAAAAUCCAGUGACUAUCUACCCUAGUUUUUAGCUAUAUAGCAAUUUUAUCGACCAUAACACAUCACAUGAAAUGUUGAAAGCCAGUUAAAUUCAGAAGAUAUAGUUUGGAAUACAUGACACGAGAAAUGUCUGUAAAGAAUUAGAUAGCAACUAAAUUAAGUAUGACAUGCAACAAGGCUUUGUCUCAUAAUUCCAAAAACCAUUUCUAUUACUUCAAAAUUUGCUCCUCUCUCAAUUGGCUAGCUUUUUUACUUCAUCAUUCACUGAAAAAUCAAAUACUUUGCCGGAUACAAUCUGCAUAAAAGAAUUCAAUUCUCACGAUCAGAAACAAAUGAAACGAUCUUGACAUACAGUUCGCUCUAUCUUCAGUAGCUCAGUAAGCAUCUACAGUCACGAUUCCUUCCACACACUCCGAAACCACAUUUUCUCAAGUAAUAAACCAUCAAAUACACUACAAACGCGAUGUAAAUGCUAACAAAAAUCUAGGGUUUUGUCAGAGUUCCGAGAUCAGAGAACCUCACCUCGAUCUGGGAGAAGGGAACCCCGCGCGACCUGAGGAAGUGCUCGACGGCGUCGGCGGCGCCACCGCCGAAGCCACCGUCGUGGAAGGAGACGGCGCCGCCGCCGCCGAUCCCUACGGGACCGUCGUUGGAGCAGCAGUUCCCCAUUUCCGCGUCGAUCGGGAUCAAAAGCGAUCGCGAGCGACGGAGAUCGCGAGAAGAGGCGGCGGCGGAGGAGAUCUACAGGCGUCGGCCGAGGCGGCGGCGGCGGCGGCGGCGGAGAGGGGAGAGGGGAGAGGGGAGGAGCAUCGAGAGGAGGGUGAAAGAGGAGGGAAAGCGCGUAGAAGAAGACGAAGAGUGGGGGAGGAGAAAACAGAGACUAGUGUUGGAUUAGUGUAGAACUGAAAUGACGGUUUUGCUCUCGUGCGUCCCUCGCACUUUGCGCCGUGGAUCCGGGGUAAAUUCGGGAAAAGGGGAAUGAGAGGGGCGUUAUGGUUGGGGAAGUGUGGUCGCGGUCACGGGCAUUGGUUUGUUUCCUAUAACAGGUAAAAUACAUGCAUAGUCCCUGACAUAUCACAAUAUUGCAUUUUCGUUCUUAAGGUUUAGUAAAAAUAUAAUUUUAGUUCUUCAUCAAUUUACCUCAAAGAGAAUUAGCAGACCCUUCCAAGAUAAAAGUCGAUUGACUAGAGACUAAAAUGAAAUAGUUGUCCACGGAUGUCAACUCUUUCCUCUAAUAAUGAGAAUAAAAACAUAAUUUAUGUAAAAGUUAGAAACAAAGUAUUUAUAGAUAUCAAGUAUGGAGUAUCCGAAGUUAUUCAUACAUUUUUACUGAAUUCUACAGAAAGUUUAGUUGCUUACCAAUCCACUUUAGCAUAGGUGAAUAAGGUACUCGGUUAAAAACUUUAGGUCCAAAACGCACUCAUUCUCCCAACUCUUUUCUCUCUUCAAUUGAUUUGUUCUCCGCGCAAGCAAAUGGACCACUAGAGGGGGAGAUCCAAAAUGGUCCUCACCACUUCAAUGUAAUUUAAACUUUAACCCAAUCUACUAUCAUUAGUAGCGAGAGAUAUUUGUACAAAAUAUAAAUGUUUGUCGUUUAUUUCCAAGAGCCUUAUGAACAUUGAGUGGUUCCCUAAUCAACCCAGUUAAAAAAAGAAGAGAAAAAGAAGGGAAAAUAUUGAUGAUGAUGAUAAUGAUGGUGGUGGUUUAUGUGAUAUGAUAUAAGUAGCAAAAAGUGACGCAGCUUAAGUGACUCUGGUUGCUUAACUGCUACUGCUUGUGGAGCCGACGAGAACCGAAUUUAGUGGUUGGUCGGUCCAAGCUCUCGAAAACAAGUCUUUAUUGACCAAAUCCUUGAGGGGAUGUUGGCCUCUUUUUUUCUUUUUUUUUUUUUGUGUGAUUCAUUUUUAUUUUUAUUUUUUUUUGGCUCGUGCUAUGGUCAAGAGGGAUAUUUGACUAGUGGAGUUUACUGCUUUACUUGAUUGCUAUUCUUCGGUUCUGCUUGUUCACAAAUUCUGGUCAAGACCUGGUCCACCACGUGGCCGAAACUUGCGUCCUUAUUUCUGCCUGCCACCAUUUUAUAGCAUGAGACGAGAAAAAGACUACCGAGGAAGUUUCAAAUUUUUAUAUUCGCCUCAUAAUCUACUAAAAAACACCGCAACUCAAAGCAGAAUCAGAAGCAGAAAAAAACAGACUAGAAACUACUCCGAGAGGAUACUAAUGGAUAGACCGAGUCCCUAUCACAAAGGGAGCAGACUAGAAACUACUCCGAGAGGAUACUAAUGGAUAGACCCGAGUCCCUAUCACAAAGGGCGAGGCCAUAGGCUAAAAAUCAAGUCCACAAACAUCUCUGUGAGAAACAGAAAAAUGCUUUCCCAAUCCUGCUUAUUUGCAUGUUUUGCGCAGAAUGGCGCAUUGGGCACAUCUUAUUUUCCAGAAGCCUGGGACCUUUACGCAGAUAAAUCACUCUGACACCAUCCGCCCUCCGUGUCCAUUUACACAUAAACAAGCGUGACCAUAGCAUUACUCUGAACAAAAAUUGAGAACUAAGCAGGCGAUACAGGUCAUUGCAGCCAGAAGUUACUCCAGAAAAAAAAAAAUGAAAAACAUUAUCCGCGAACAAAGAUAACAAAGUUUGCAGAGGGGAAGGUUCUUUUACAGCAACUAGGAAGAAGGUAACAUCUUCAGCAUCCACGGUACAUUGACAGCUUAAGAAACUGGUCGAUGUAUAGAACAAGAUGUAGCUCAUACUUCAACCUGAAGAACAACUGGGCUUUUUAUCAAACUAGUAUUACACCAACAAAUAAGCGACUAGCUUAAAACGAUGCACACUUUGCAAGCUCUCGUUUGCUCGGAUGAGGCGCAAUGUGCUUCUUCUUCUUCUUCUUCUUCCAAAGUUUAAGCUGGAAAAAAAAAGGAAAAGGAUGGGAGAGGGUCAAUAGUAGGCCUUACAUAUUAUUAUGCAUCAAGGAAGAAAAGAUAAUGUAAACAAGCUUAAGUAAGGCAAACCAUUUAGAAUAAGCAGCAAUGUCCUCGAGCUGACUCUCAGCGAUAUGCAGGUGGAGGGCCGGCAAAUGAGUAGAGAGGCGAGACGGGCAAAUUUUGCAAAUUGGCCCUUCUAGAUACUGUCUCAUUGUAUGAAUGAUUUGGAUUUUCAUAAGUUGAGGAGGUUAAAUAGCUUGAUUGAGGUGUGGCUCGGUUGGUGGGUCGCUCAGCAUAGUACAGCUCUUCCGCAUGGUCAGCACGGGCAACUUCCACAAGCUCUCUUGCUGUUAGAAACCUCUGAUCCCUUGCGUGAUGUUCAUCUCUUGGACUUAUCUCGGGAACCAGCCUAUAACUAUCAGAAGGGGAAAAAGAAAAAAUAUAAACACAGAUCAACAUCAACGACGAACGAUUUUUUAAAACUAAUAAUAAUAUUCUAUCUGAGAACUAAAAAAGAAUACCAAAAUAAAGUUAAUUCCAGGUGAAAAUAUGUAAAGAAUAUUAAUGCAACGUAACUAGUUACCCCAGAAAUCUAAUAGUCAAUCCGUUCUGAUAAGAUUCCCAAGUUGAAGUACCCAGUUAUUAGCGUGCCGUGUUGAUCAAAUAAAAUAUAGAAUACCAAAAUGACGAUCCCUGUAGAGCAUUUUCUACUCUUUACGCCUUCAAGAAUGAACAACAAAGCUAGGGAGAGAAUUAAUAAUCAAGGAUAUGGACACAGGCAGAGGGAGAUAGUCAUACAUAUCAUACAUGAUAAACAUGACCUUGUUUCCAUUUUUAACAUUUCAAUCAUUUCUAUGUAUUCGACUGUAAAGGAAAAGCAUAUUAUUAUCUAUUCCUAAACCAGCAUGCUAGUAUCCGCUUCUUCAUAGAUCCCGGAUCUUCUCCUAUAACCAUUAAACUUCAGCCCAUGUGAAUUUUUCUGCGCAAUUAAAUGAGAAAGCCCCUCACAUAGGCAUUAAAAUUAUCCAAUUCUGAAACCACUCUCAAUCACAGGUAAAUAAUGUUGAAAAAGAGUUGUAAAAUUUAGUUCUACAAAGUUCAAAUAACCCAGAUCAUGUUUAACAGUGUUGAUCGAUGAUUUGAACACCUCAUUACCAAGGACUUGGUACUUCUAAAAGUAUUCUAGCUCAAUUAAUUAAUUAAUUAAUUAAUUAAUUAAUUGUAUAUAUAUAUAUAUAUAUAUAUAUAGAGAGAGAGAGAGAGAGAGAGAGAGAGAGAGCGCAAAGCGACAAUAAUUUUAGCAAUAAACAAAGGCAUUUACUUCCAUAUUGGUUUUAAUAAACGGGCCUCCGAAUCGACGGUCAAUACCAUUAAAAUUUAAACAUGAUCUACACUAUUUGAACUUUAUAAGACCUGAAUUUCAUGAUUUUCAACAUCAUCUACCUAGUGAUCAAGUAGUCUCUAUUCACCUUAUAGUAGCCACUAAAAACAAUCAAUGUCGAUAAAAAAUAAAAUAAAAUAAAACUGUCGUUCUCUGUCAGCUUAAGCUUCUGAAGAACAACAGUUGUUUCAAAUUAUUUUUAACAUGGUAUUAGAGCAGGAGGUUAGAGUUCAAGUCCCACUAGGCUCCUAGCUUCAUUUAAUUUUCUCCUAUUUAAAUUUAAUUCAAGUCCACGUCUUAAGCCAAUAAAAAGUCUCGAGCCCAGAUACGAAGAAGAGUGGUAAAUACAAAGUAUAAAAAUACUGUUCUUUGUCAACUUAAGCUUUUGGAGAACUUGAAUAAUGGGCAACUUAUGUCGAAAAAUCAUAAAACUCCGACCCUAAGAAGUUCAAAUAGCCUAAAUCUAGUUUUACAGUGUCAAUUGACGAUUUGAAAGCCCAAUUCCAAAAAUGAUGCGUAUCUCUCUCUAAAGCUGUCCAAAAUAUUCGAUAUUCCAUACCUGACACGGACCGUACCCGGACCCUACCCAGACUUGAACCGGACCCGAUAAAAAAUGGUAUAGCAUACGGGUAAAAAAAAAAUUAUUCAUUAAAGUUUCGGGUAUGGCUCCGGAUACUUUAUACCUAUACGUGACUUGGACCUAACUCAAACCCGACCUUUUAGCUACCGUUUGGUUCGGGGUUAAGGAAAAACUAGUUAUUCCAGGGAUAGAGUUAAGUUCAGGGUUAAGGUGGGGUUAGAGUAUUUUUGUGUUUGGUUGGGGGUUGGAGUUAGUCCAGGAUAGUAAAAAAUAGUGUUUGGUUGGAGUAUAUGGGAUAAGAAGGAUAGUGGGUUAUUAUGAAUAGAAAAUAGUGUUUGGUUGGGAUUAGGUGGAGUUAGCUAACCCGGGAUAACACAUUUGAGGUGGGGUUAGCUAACCCCACCCAUUUUUGAGGAUGCUUGGGAAUAAUAUGGGGGUUAAGGAGUUAUUCCACCCCUUAACCCACCAACCAAACGGGGGCUUAAUGGGUAGGGUCCGGAAGAGUUUCCAAAUCCGAACCAUAAACUCGACCCAUUGAAAUACUCGGUAGUAAAUAAAAAAAUUUGAAGUUGAGGAAUUAAUUUCAAUAAGACUUAAAGAUGAAGAGUCUCUGUAUAUUUUCAUCCUAGUGAAAACCUUAGUCGCUUUGUUUACUCCAUUUUUAUUUUUUUAUUUUACUCAUUUUUUUAAUUUUAGUUGUUUACUGCUUGAAUCUUUCUUUUGAACGAAUUUUAUUGGACUUUGGUGCAACCAAUUAGAACGCAAGUUUUUUUAUAGUGAGAUUUAUAAUUUGUUCAUAAAAUGUUUAAUAAAGUCUAUAAAAAAAUAUAUGCAUACGGAUAUCCGUACUUGAUCUAGACCUGACCCGACCCGUACCCGAUAUAUACCCAGUCUUAAGCGGGUAGGAUAUGAGUAGUCACUACCCAAACCCACUGAAAUAGACCCAAUAGGUAUAUUAUUAACUUUAGUACCCGGAUCCGGACCCGAUCUGAAGUUAAAUGGAUAGAGUAUAUAUAUAUUUUUUUAUCCACUUCUUUAGGAUAUGGGUACAGUAUAUCAACUACCCAUACCUGACCCGGUCCAUAAACACCUCUCUCUCUCUCUCUCUCUCUCUCUCUCGAGUUCAACUACUAUACUAUUAUGAGUACUCUCUCUCUCCCUCUCUCUCUCGAGUUCGGCUACUAUUCUAUUAUGAGUACGAUAACCUUCGUACUCAUAAGUCGUUUUCAAUGAUAGAGCUUCCAAAUCGACGAUCCAAGCUUGAAUUUAAGAACCCUAUCCCCCACUUUUGGGGAAUCGUUCGAUUUUGGCCGUUCAUUCUAUACCCACCUGAUGAACUUUAUUAUAAAUUUGAAAAAAUAUGAAAAUCGAUUUCUAGAUACUUCAAAUGCUCUAGAUCAUGUUUAACGUAUAAAUCAUCAAUUUAGAAGCUCCAUUAUCGAAAAUGGCCUCUGUACUCAUAAAGAGUAUAGUAACCACUCUAAAUAUAUAUAUAUAUAUAUAUAUAACUUCUUACAAUCCAAAGCAAUUCAAACCAAACCAAAGCACGCUAACUUUGUGGUGGAUUGUGUUGAAUUAUGUCAUUCGUGUCAAGAAUUGCCGACCAUACUUUGUGCGAGUAUAGCGCAUCAAACUGUAUGACAACAGACUUAAGUAGGUGUGCCGACACCUUAAGGCUUAGUGGUUGCCUUACCUCAAGUGUGUCUUUCCAAAACUAGCAACUAAUCAACAUAUUGCACCUAAGUGCCAUGCUUAAAGUCUUAAGACUAAAAGUUUUGUGUGCCAAAAGUACACCUUUUAAACCAUGCUUGUAACUACCAAACCAUCCUCACUUUCUAUGAUACCCCUGAUGUAGACCGAACCCGACCCGUCUCAUCGCCCAAGUUUCAGGUCUAUCAACGAAGGCGGCGCAAGUUGGCACCCGAACCCGCUAUAUGGAUCUGAAGAUUAUUCUUGAUUUACUCUGUUAUUUUAAGAUUUUUUUGUUAGGAAUAUUUGUUAUAUUUUUCUUUUAGAUAAAUCUCUAGUUAAGAUUUUUCGGUUAUUUUCCUUUUAGAUAAAUCUCUAGUUGAGAUUUUUUCUCGGAUGUAAUUAGGAUAUAAAUAACCUACAAGGUUUUAUGAAAAGGGACGAUUAUUGAAUAAAAUUUUGAACUUUUCUUGCAAAGAGUUUUGGGUGAAAUUUUUUUUCCCGGAAGGUUUUCCGGUUCUGGCGAGGUCCAGAGUUUUAAUAUUUUGUUGGAUCUGAGUUCCUCUUAAUUUUCUGUAAAUUUUGACUACCUAUUUGUGAGGUUUGGUUAAGAUUUUAGAAAAUAGAGGGGUUGAUAGUUGAGAGAAGAGAGCUUGUGCAAGCAACAGGAAGAUGAAGUUGGAGACGAAGUUCCUUGGGCGCACCUCCCGAGGUGACUUUAUUUCCUGCACACGUCAUCAAGUUCUUGCGCAGGGAUUGAACCAACAAGCAGCAGCCUACAUUGGAUGAACCCGGUUCACAUCACAAGCUAGUAUUUCCUUCUAUAUUUCAAUUUACGCAAAUUAUCUAUUAGUAAUAAAAGCUUGGUCUAUAGAAUGUUUUGAUUUCUAUUUUUUUUCUUUCUCGGAAAAAUUCGUAGACUUGUUUUAUCGUCCCAAAUUUUAGAAAAUUGUUUAGUCUCUUUGAUCCUGCAAGAUACUUGAUUAUUAUCGUUGGGCGAAAUUCGAUUACGCGGUAUUUACAAGUAUGGUACAAUCUCCUAUCUCAUCAAUUUUUCUUACUUUAUUAAUUUUCUUUUCGAACGUUCUUUAAAAAAAAAAAAAAAUUGCUUGUUUAAUUUUAUCUCUACAAAAUAUUUUGCCUACCACAUCUAAGGAGUAUUUACUUGUAGGAUAGGUUUAACCCGUCCUGCAUCAACCCCUCCAACCACACAAAAAUCACCAACUAGCCACCACUGCCUCCAUAACCCCAACAGCCCCCACAAACCAGCCCAAAAACCCACACCCUAAUAAACCUUUGGGCCGAUUGCCAAUGAUUUGAUAGAUUUUUAUGGCUAUAGCCUGAGAUUGCGGCAAAACUGAAACAACAAGACUAGGCCUACAAAAGCAAGGCUAAUGGCUAUGUUUGAAAAUGUUAGUUUCUCUUAGGACUUGAAUUGAAUAAUACUUUCUCAGUAAAUUAUUUUGGACAAAACGCCUCUCAAUAUCAAGUUAUGAUAGAAGUCCAUAAUAUCUUUUAAUAGAUAGUGAAAAACAAACUACUAAUUUGCCAGUAACAACGACUCACUAUUCUCGAUAUGAUUGAUCAAUCUAACCUAGUUUUGCUAACCACAGUUCACAUAUUGAAGAACAAAGCUCGAAUCUUAUGCUACUAUAUUAAGUAGACAAUUUUUUUUCUUUUUUUUCCUUCUUUCGAGAAUACCAACACAAGAUGCCGUGGUUUCAACACAAAUAGCUCUCAUAAGAGAGUGGGAUGUACCAAUCACUAGGCUCCACAUCUUGCUUAAAGUAUAACAAGAAAAAAUCACUAACAAACCAAAAUAGCUAGAUAGGACAAUUCGUAAGCAACAACAAAUAUAAGUUUGUGGCUCAACAAGUACGUACCGCACAAGUGGAGCAGAAUUGUCUGGAUAACGAGCUCGCAAGUUAUCAAUUUGAGGCGAAUCAAUUAACGGACCUCGAUAAUAUGGAUCAUCACGGGGAAAGGGAGGUAAUCGAACACGUCGAAGCUCCAUUAAAGGGGGUGGACGUUCGUGAUGCAUAUAAAGUUCAUUUGAAUCUAAAGAACCUUGAUGGAUAUAUCGAGACUCAAUAGGUGGUGGUGGAGCAUAUGGCAAUUGUCUCGCUAGAUAAGGGUCCUCAGAAGAAGGCCGUUGAGUUCGAUGAGGAGGCUGCCUAUCCUCGACAUAUUGCAAGGGUGCUUGCACUUUAACCGGGCGAAACAUCAUAAUCAACUUACGGACCUGCAAACAAGCUCAAAAUAAGAACUUAACUACAUGGCAAAUCACACUAGUCAUUAAAUAUCUUGAAAUUUCUUAUGCCACCAAUUCGAUAUCCCACAAUUGAUGCAUUGAUCUAAAAUUUUUGUAAGAAUAAAGUUCGACCAUCAAUUGUUGUUCAAUUCCCCUAACAAAGAGAUUUCCUGCAGAUAGUUCAAAUUUUGCAACUAUCAAAUCGAGCCUUGAAGUGCUAUCCAAAUUUUCCUCGUAGAGGGCUCAUGCUGGCACUAUGAGGACCAUUUCCAGACACAACACAAGUUUAUAGUUAAAUCAACUCAUUGAAACCCUGUUUAGAUGUUAGAAUAAAUUAUCCAAUGAUAACUUAUUCCAUAUAAGAAUUUUCUAGUAUAGUUGUAAGCAAGGAGUUUGAUUUUUGCUCCUUCAAAGGCCUUACUAUAUAAUAGCAUAUUUCACCUACAAGAUGAUUUAUCUUAUCCAAAAAAAUAACUUAAAGGUCGAAUAUAAUAUCCAAUUAUAAACAUUUGAUCACAUUUUUUAUCAAUCGAACGUACAAAUUUCUUGAAUGUAUUAAGGAGAUAGGGAUACACUAAACAAGAUAUUCAUGCAUCCAAACAGGACCUAAGUGUCGUUCAUGCUUCUCAAUUUAUUGAUGAUGUGGUAGUUGAAUCUAUGAGUGGUAAUUUCAACAACGGCACGAUUGCACAACUUGAACACGAUAUUAAACAGCUAUCAAAAAUCCAAAAUCAACAUGCCAUGAGCUCAUCUAAUCAAAAAAUGACAUGAGAGGUUGAAGCAUCAACAUUAUUUCUGGGAGAAAUUCAAUAAGAAAUCUAUAGAAUAAAUUGUUUGCACUUUGCUACCAUAUAGUUAAGUGCAGCACUUCUCGUCUAUGGUGACAGUUUUGUCUUUUCACAAGUCCAUGUUAAAACGUUUUGGAUGGUAAGCAUGUGACAAUCACGUAUCUUAUUGAAACACUGUUAUUCGUCAAAAAACCACAAUUAUAUAGCUCGAUUGUGCCUUCCCACUCUAUGGUUCAACAAUCCCUUUUAAAAGGCAUUUUAUAGUAGAUCCUUAUAGAAAACCAAAUUUGCGUAUGGUUCAAGUCCCUUUUUAAAGGCAUUUUAUAGUAGAUCCUUAUAGAUCCUUAUAAAACCAAAUUUGCAUCUACAAGAAGGCAAAGUACUCACACUGAGCAACAAGCAGGGCAACACUAUAGGUUAUUUUUAACACUCAGAGAUUUGCUCCAACAAAUUUAAUGUUUCGAACCAUUUUACAAGAUCUCCAUAAAAUACACACCUUAUUCAAAGAAUGCAAAUCACGAACUGGAAUAGCAGCCACUGUGAAUCACGUCAUCUCCAAAACUAGGCACAUUCAUAUUUACCAUGUCAUACGAACCACUAUAAAUAGUCUUGGAAAUAAUGUGGUAAUUGAUUCAACAAUUCUCAAUUAGUGAAAUUGAACAACACAUAAUAGCCGAACACAAUUGUAUCAAAAAAUGAAGUUUAAUGCACCAAAAACAAGAAAUCAAAAUUGAGCGACUUGCGUGAAAUUUCAAUGUUAGUUUAGUGAUCAGUGAUGUAAUUUACUUUUUUAACUAAUGAUAAUCUGAUUAGAGCUCAUUAAAUAUGGUGUUUUCUCUAAUUACCAUGCCUAUGUAAUCAAAAUCCAUUGAACCGAAUACAUACUUGUUUUGAAUUGAGCUCAGAAGCGAACUUGCCCUUUGAAUCAUAGUUCUCCUUUAUAGCUUGUUUAAAAGUACGCUCAGGAAGAGGUAGACAAUCCCUGUCAAUCUUAAAUUUGACCUGCACGGAAGUAUAAUAUGUUACUUUUGAGAUGGGAAGAGAGACAUAGACUUUAUGGGCUUUCACAAGACAUAGCGAGCUUUGCAAGUCGGAUUAAGUGCUUAUUUGGCCUUGUUUCUGCUUCUUUUAGCAACAAUCACCUUUAGCAAAGUGUUUGGUAAACAGAAAAGUCAAAAGCUUCAGCUAUGAAAAGAAGCUAAAACAAGAUUUGAGCUCCAAACUAUAAAGCUCUAAUUUGGAGCUUUUGCUUCUACCUAGAGAAUGUUGAAGAGAUCUUUAUAUAAAGUUUCUCAAAAUAGCACUUCAUUGAAAAACACUACAUGUUACCACAAAGCCAAGAGGCUCGUACCUACCAACAAUAGUUAUUGCAAAUUUUUACCCAGCUUUUGUCGCUGCUUAUAGCAACUUCUCCAAACAAACAUUUAGCAUUUUGAUGUUACUCUUGGGGGGCAAAACUAGUUUUGCUAAAAUUUAGGGCGUGCGCUAGUUUGAAAAUUCUAAUUUUGGUUGCGACCGAAAGCAAAUUAAGGCAUUUUAACUAAUACAUCUAAAAUACCUAACCAACCCUAAUUGAAUGUCAAUAAUUUGUACUACCCUAUCCCCUCUCUAUCCAAAAUCCUCUUUUGUACUACCGUAUUCUCCUCUCCGUCCUCUCUCUUCUCCUCUUCUCUCCUCUCUUCCUCUCCACUUUCCACCUUCCCAUUCUCUCUCUGGCUCUACCUUCUCUUAUCUUAUUUAUUAUGUUUCUCUAUCCUCUCUCUCCCCUCUAUGCCCAUUCUCUUUUCUCUUCCUUUUACUCUCAUUACUUUCCUAUUUUCUCUACUCUAUUUUGACUCCCUCCUCAACUAGGUUGCCGCUUCAAAAAAGGUAUACAAUUAUUUUCAUCACUCCACAACAAGUAACAUCACUUCGACGCAAAAUUUGCCCCAACUUUCAACGAAGAGCUGUUAAAAAACUAUACACCAUUCAAAGCUUCAUUGAACAACUCAACCUAUAGUCAAGCCAAUCAAAUUCUUAUCCUGAUUUCUGCAACUCGCUUGCCAAAGGCGGUCAUACCCUUUAAGACUAAUAUUUGAUACCCUCAAUACAACGAGUCAAGCAAGCAAAGAGCAUCUAGAAAAAGAAAAGUAUGCACUAAUCCUUAGGGCCCCGUUUGGUUCGGGGGAUAAGCGGGAAUAACGAAAGUUAUCCCCGCUAUUCCGCCAAACAGGGUGAAAUUUGGCCGGGAUAUUUUAUCCCGGUCAAACCUUGCUAUUUCCGGUUAUCCCGGAAUAGCAAGGGAUUUGCUAUUCCACCAUUUUGGUGGAAUAGUGCUAUUCCAAUACUUAAUUUCAAACUUAAUUAAAAUUAUAAAUUAAAUUAAAACUAAAUUAUAUAAAUAUAAUAUGUUAUAUAUUAUAAUACAUUACUUUUAUUAUAAAAUUAUUAGUUGUACUAUAUUAAUACAUAUUAUUUAUAUUUAAAUAUUAUAAUAAUAAAAUGUAUAAUAAAUUAUAUUUAAAUAUUAUAAUAAAUUCUUUUUAUAAAAUUUAAGUAGAAUUUUAAAAAAAUUUAUAAAUUUAUUAUAAUAAAUUAUUUUUAUUAAUUGUUCCCACCUCUAUUCUUAUUUUAAAAUUUUAAAAAUUAAAAAUUUAAAUUUUUAAAAUUUAUAAUUUAUAAUCUCAAAAUUAAAAUUUAUAAUUUGAAAUUUGAAAUUUAAAUUUUGAUAUUUUAAUUUUUGAAAUUUAAAUUUUGAUAUUUUAAUUUUUGAAAUUUAAAUUUUGAUAUUAUAUUUUUCAAAUUUAAAUUUGAUCUCAAAUUUAAAGUUUGAAAUUUAAAUUUUAAAAUUUUGUAUUUUAAAUUUGAGAUUUUAAAUUUCAAAGUUGAAAUUUUAUAUUGAAAAAUAUAAAUUUAAAAUUUUAAAAAUUUAAAUUCAAAUAAAAUAAGAGGAUAAUAUGAUUCUUUUUUAUUUAUAAAACUCACUUUCUUUCUUAUUUCAUCUUACCUAACCAAACGCUAUUUUUUUUACUCACAGAAAUAACCCAAUUUUCAUCCAAAUACAAAAUUGAUCUAAUCCCCAUUUAUACCUCAAUUUACACCUAUCCCUGGAAUAGCCACUUUUUACUUAUCCCCGAACCAAACGAUACCUAGGAGUACUUAGGCUUUAUUUCAAGCAUUCUAAAUUCCAAGAAAAUUAAAAAAAAAAUCACUACAAUAUCGAAAAAAAGCCUCCAAUAUUCUAGAAGACAUGCAAACCAAUUAUACAGUAACUAUUGAGGCAUAUAUUCUUCUAGCUAUAGAUCAAAGAAAGUCUCCAGUGCUAUUGACCAAAUUUUUUAGUCUAAACUACCAAAGUACAAUGCAAAACUCAUAAUAAAGCCAGUAUUGAUCAAAACUAGAAUCAAUGCAACUAGCAUUUCCACAAGGAAAACUCAAAGACUAAAAGCUCAGCUUCACUCCAGCAUUAAAAUUUCUCCUCCAUUAAAAUUAGCUUCGCACUAAUCUUAUUUGGCCAAUACUAACCAAAAUAAGCAUUUCUCCCUCCAUCAGUUAUCUUAGACUUCAUAACUACAAAACGGGCACACACAGCAUUCGCUAUCAAAUAGCAGCUACCAUGCAAAAUUAUAGUAAUAAUAUGUCAGCUCCAUGCAAACAAAUCUAUGUAAACACAAACAUAGCCUUUUUGCUAAUCAAAAUAUUAGCUUCUCAGCAAAUUUCUCUAUCAACUCAAAUCUAUAUUAGCUAAGAUGACGCUAAGGGUUACGUACUCCCCAUGCAAGCUUAGAAAUUCCAACUAAAGUGACACUAAGGAUUACUUACCUUCCCAUGCAAGCGUCAGAAGUCUCCUCUAGCUAGAAAUAGUAGCAACGACAGUAACAGGCCUCUCCUUUGAUCUUCUAAUCAACCUUUUUUUAACUUUCGAGUGAAAUAAGGUCAUUAUCGACGAAAGCACAUAAUGCACACCAGAUGAAAUCCAUGCUACAAUUUAACAAUUGGUCUAACAAUAAAACCAAGAUGACAUCCAUGCUACCUUUUAGGUUACAGCAAGAGGUAGAAAGAGAAGAUUCUUCCACAAAAAGAAAUAACAAAACAAACAUAAUCCGCUCUUGCCAAACAACAUUCUCUAUCAAAUGGUAUAACGGCCGAAAGAUGGCAUCCAAAGAUAGUGAGCUUAGUUUGCUAAAACUCCCAUUAAGAUGGAAAUAAUAGUCUUUAGAGCUUCUCGACAGAAUCAUACAAAUGAAAGUAGCAACUAAUAUCAAAAUAAUUGCAGGGAGUCUUGAAGUUCAACCUCAAGUCUUAAUUUCCCAUUUGCUAACUAAUGACACAAAGAUCAACAACCCUCAGAGUAUUAGCUGAUACUACAGUAUCAUUGGCCAACCAAAAAUUUAUGAUACAAUACCUGUUUCCCCACAAAACACUACCGGUAAUCACAACUAUUCGACUCUUCUGAAUCUUAUGUUCUAGCUGAAGUCCUACUCGUCAGGACGUGUAAGCAGCAGUCGGCAGUUUUCCGAAUCAUGAAGACCUUAGAUAGUGUUCCACUGCUCCACCAAACAUUCCUAUACACGUAAGCUUCAAGAUGCAAUAUUUUGAAAGCUUUUGUUGGACCAUCUUGCGGAAGUAACUAUCAUUGUAUCAGCGUGCAACAAGCCCUAGAGCGCACGUGCCAAAAUUUUCCAGGAAUAUAAAAUAAAGUAAAUACUACUUGCAAUGGCCUUUGUUUGUCAAGCCAUACAAAAAUAGUAUCUAAUCCUCGAUUGGCAAAUACUAUCGACUUCAAAAAAAAUUCUGAUAUUAAAAAAGGAAAGGGAUAUUAAAGCAAGAAAACUAAUCCAAGGAAGUCAAUGGAGAAGAAGACACAGUCCAAAGGACAGAUGAAGGGAUCCUUUCGAAUCCGCAUUAAUUACUAACAUGCAAGGUGCCUUAAUCACCAAAUAAGAUUGUAUUUAUCGAAUCACUCCAACUUGAUCUUCACAUUCAACAAUUGGAAAGGAAAAUAGAGAACAAUCAACAAGCACACUAGAGUUAUAGGACGAAACAAGCGUACCUGCGAAGGGAAAGCGCCUCUGAAGGCCUCCCGAACGAGGUUCAACCCACCACUGGAGGUGGCCUUGUAGACCCCGUAGAGAAGCUUGAGAUCGAAAUCGAAGAGGAAGAGCUUCGCCCCGGGCUUGAUCUUCUCCACCGCCUCGAUCUUCCCCUUCGGCAUCCCGAACACGCGGUGGCGGAAGCACUCCGGCUUCGUCUUCCCGCUGCACAAGAAGAUGAACCCGGAGCUCUUCUCCUGCGUCACCUUACCCUUCUCCUCCCCCUUCUCCUUCCCCUUCUCCUUAUCGACCCUCUUCUCCUUACCCUUCUCCUUAUCAACUCUACUGCCACUCCUCUCACUCUUGUCCUUCCUGAUCUUCUUCGAAGGGGCCGAUCCCGGCGGCGUCGGCCGCUCCCGAGACUUCCCCGCCGAGCCGUCGUUCUUCUCAUGCUUCUUCCGCUUCACCAUGGCUACGACCUCCGCGGACGCUCUAGAUCCAAACGAAUCCUAACCCUAGAGGGAGAGAGAGAGAGAGAGAGAGAGAGAGAGAGAGAGUAAGAAGGGUUUUUACCUGAGAACUCGAAAGGAGAAGCGGAUUUGGGCGCAGUACGAGGCGCAGGUGAUGAUGGUGGUGGGAGGAGGCGGAGGUGAAGGGUAUUAAUACACGUGGGGAGAGGGAAUCAACGGCUAGGAUUCGAAUUUCAAAAUGGGGCCAGGCUCGGAUGGUCGGCACGUGGCUUUCGGAGAACCGCGUCAUCGCGUAACGGGUGAACAAAAUUUAAUGAUGGACCCGGUUUACCACGUCAUGUCGUUUGAAUUUGGAAUUUUUGAAUUUGAAUUUGAAGCUCCAUGUAGCUUCCACUUUGGGAGUGUGUUACCGCGUUCCACAUAUUGCAAUGCACGGCAUUUGAUCGGAAUGCUGCUUUUAAGAGAGCAUCUAAAUUGAUAAUUUUUUGGUCAUGAGCGAGAACGAUAAUAUAUGUUCAUAGAAAACUAUAAUUAGUCAAAAUCAACGGAAAAAAAUGAUAAGUAUAUUUUUUUUGUUAAACAACAUCGAUCGAAUGCGUGGCAACUCUACAUGUGCAGUGCCUCACUCCUAAACAGAGCAAUUGAGGAUAGUAAUUAAUUGCUCAAAAUAAUGGUAGUUGAAUUAAUACUUUGAUUAGCUAAAAAAUAUACUCAAAUAGAUCAUUAUGUAGUGAUUGCAUACAAUCAAACUUACCAUAUGUAAUUCGUGCAAAGUAAAUAACUAAAUAUACUCGGCUGACUAGAGGUGAUGUUGAUCUAAAUAUAAUACCAAAAACACCAAAAGCAUACAACUGAAAAAUUUUAUAUCUAACAAAAUUUUCGAGAAAAAUUUAUUAAUCUUUUGAUGAAGAACUAGUCGAGAAGAACAUCACUGGAUAAUUCAUUCUGCAUCCAAACACGACAUUAAGGAGAAAGGAAAGAGCCCUACUGAGAAAAACACAGGAAACAAGAGGCAGUGUAACAAACAGAAAACCCAUACUACAAAAUUCAUGCUGUAUAGAUGCAUGUAAUAUUAUAUUGUAUCAUCAAAGGAGACAUACAACAACAGACAUUCAAAUGCGCAAUGAACAAGCCUGGUGGAGCUCACUUUACCAGUGCUCAUACCCAACACAAGAAAAUCAGAAUACCAACGAAAGAAGGAAAAAAAGAGAUCGAAUGAAGCCAAAAAGGAGCAGAAAGAAAAUGCAGGGCUAGCUUUUCGCAAACUGCAUAGACCAUAGUAGUGUCUCAUCCUCCCUCCCUUUCUCUAUAGAACUCCUGUACAAAGUAUAUUAUCUCUCAUACAAACUAUCCAAAAACUCAAAAAUUCCCCUGCGCCUUUCGCCCCUUUGUCUUUAGUCAUAUUUUUGUACAAUCUGCGCAAAAUCUUUGAUGAUUUGAUGACCCGUGAGAGAAGCUACCGCUGCACACUCCGGACUCGAGAAAAGCAAAAGGAAAUAACCCGAGAAACAGGAUACAUAUAGCUCAGUUUAUAUGUUUACUUCUUAUUAUAGGUUAGUGCCUGAUGGAACAGCUUAUUUCACUCCCGAGUCCUAGGAAGAAGUUGGAGGAGCGUCGAGUCCAUUGGUAGAAGAUUCUCCAUUAGCAGAGCUUGAUGGGCUUCCCUGAUGGGUUUCUUCAUUACUCGCGGACGAUCUGCUUCUCCCAGACCUUGUGCGGACAUUGUUACCCACAGGGAAGGGUUCCUGUCGAAAGGAAAAAAACCCCGUCAGAAUUUUUUUAUGCUUUACAGUGUGAACAACAAAUACAUAGACAGCUGUGCAGAUGUAUAUGUUUUCCAGGCCGAUGUGUGAAGUACAUCUAUGAUUUUCACGGAAUGAUAACAUUUAUUAAAAUCAGAGAAUGUGAUUGUUAAAAUUUAUCUCUAAGGACGUAACGAUCGGGAUCAAACUUCAUGGACUGAUUUUGCAAUUAGCCCUUUAGAAAAAUAUAGUUGCACAGUAACCGAAACCACAACGGCUGUAUUAAGGCAUAGGAACUCAUUGUUUAUAAAAUGCAUGUAUAUAAGAACUCAAACCUGGUCGCCUGCAUUUGGGCCCUCUGAAUGGAAGAGAAUAGGGCGGCAUCGUUUAUCCUCAUUCAUCAAACUCGAGUUCUGGAAAUGACCAAUAAGAGCAGCUUUUCCUUGGAUUCUAGCAUAUGCAAGCGAAGCCACCUUUUCACUGUUGAACUUCUCCCAUUUUUUACCAUUAAAUGACUGCAGAAAAUUCAAUAAUGUUCUUUAGUGACUUCAUUUUACGUGCCUUCUGCAGUAAAGAACAUGCUCACAAUGGAAAAGGAAAAGUUCUAAUAGUAGAUUUGUUCAAGCUAAAACUAGCAGCAAGAAAGGAAAAAUAUAUAUAUUUCUUAAUUAGUAAUUUAUAAUGGUACCUAUAGUAAAUAACUAAAAAAACUCGUACCAAAAUGCUAAAUAAAGAUAUAAAAACCAAACCUGAUAAAAUGGAAUGAUAUGCUGAGGAUUGAUCAUGUUGAUAAAAGCAUAACCCACGUUACAUUUGUUCUGAAACGUAGAACAGAAAGCAUACAGUUAGGAAAUAAUUAAUUUGAAGUGAAUAUUUCCAUUCAAAGGACGUGCAGCUCCUAUUUAUAGUUGCACCUACCUUGAAAUCAAUGGGCAAAUAGAUGAAAUCAUAAGUCCCCUUAUGAUUUUCAUCAAUAGUAGCCAAAAGCAUCUUAGACGUGUACCUGUUGAUAUUCAAGAGAGGUCAAUUAGAUUCACUACAAUAUUCCUUGCACAUAGAAGUUAGCAUUAAAAAAAAGAGGCAGAAGGUGUAAUUAAUAUACUUGUUGGGAAUAUUUUUUAUCAUGAGUGUCGUCCGAGAGUCUUCACCACGCAUGAUCUGUUCGAUAUCAAGCUCGUAUUGCUUCUUAUUAUCAGGCUGAUUAGGGUUUGGAUCACUUCUUCGACUCCUCAUCCGUUCAUUAGCAGCACCAAAUGAAGCAGGCAUAGGAAUAACGGGAUUAUUCCUAGCAUGUAACAAGUGGAACCUGUGCUGUGGCGAGGGAAUCCCAAUAUGUGCAGAACAGAUAGAUUUCAUCGAAGGGUCAAAAUGGCUUCCUCCAUUAUGGGGGAAUAUGUUACCAGGGCUGCCAGGAAAAGCCAUAGUUCCAAGAGAUGCUGGGUGAAAAGUCAGUGCUUCUGCUGAAUAAGCUGAAUAAGGGCUUUGUUGCCGGUCCCAGAAAGAUGGAGCUGAACCAACAUGAUGGUUUUGUACAGGAACAACAUUGUUCAGCAUAUGAGAUGGUUGUCUUUGAAUCCCGUGCAUUUGGGCAGAAACGUUGCUUGCGAAUGGUGACGAAUUCGGCCAUAACAUGGGAGAAAGAGCAUGAUGGUGGAAAGCACUUGAUGAAUUGUUCCAUCCAUACUGGUGCCCAUGCAGCGGACAGCUUCCAUUUCCAGAGCCUACAAAUGCUAAGGAAUAUAAUGUAAGCUAUAGUACAGGAAUUUUGGUUUGAAAUGAAAAUAGACAAGCAUAGAAAAAGUAACACCACAAUGCUUAGUUUAAACAGCAUUUUACGUAUGGCAAUUACAUAUAUAAUUCUGCAAAAAUAUCUACUUUCAUAUGUAACCAUUUAAACCUCUGACUUUCCAUAUGUACUCCCUCGAAAUUGCAGUUUCUCCAUAAAUAGUGUUAUCAUCGAGUUGGGGAUUAUCCUAUUCAUCCAGAAGCUUGUUUUGUACAAGAAAGCUUUUUAAUAGGGGCAUUUUUCUAUAAGACAUUAUCUGAACAGCAUAUAUGAGAAUUUAGAAUUUUCAGGGACACAUAAGUAAAGAGAUAAUCUUUCAGGGGUGUACAUAUGUAAAUAUAUCCUUUUAUGUAAAAGAAGAUAGAUGAAUAAUAUGUUGACCUCACCAUUAUUGUUAUGAUCAAAGGAAUGGCCAUUGACUUUAUGAAGAUGUCGGUUAUCUGCUCCUUCAGCAAGUCUGGAGUUAAUAUUAAUACCAACGGCCGAAAUGGCAGUUGAGUUGUAAGGAGUGCCGUUGACUACCCCAUUAUGAUGCUCUGGCAAUGAAUGAGGAUGGAAGGGAGGGAUGCCUUGAAACCCUAGCGAAUGGCUGAGCUCAUGAAGAGACUGAUUACCGUUGUGAUGAUUCAAUGAUGCAACUCUCACAGGGGAGGAUACAUUGUGAAAUGCUUUCCCCACAAAUGGGCUAAUUGGUGCUCGUAUAGACGAAUGUAAACCGUUGAUAGCACCAUUUUCGAUAUUAUGAGAUUUGAUUUCCCCUGGAUAGCUCCCAUGAAUCGCUGUUAUCGAAUAAAAAUUUGUUGGAAAAAUGUAACAUAACGUCAUUCAGAAGGAAGAAAUUAUUGCCUGGACCUGGUCCACCACGUCAGAAGUGCACCGCUCAGCCAUCUCCCUCUAUUCCAUCCCAUUAGGUAGCAGGCAUUUAAUUAAAGGAAUGAAGGAAUCAAGUGAACAUGGCUGAGCAGCACACACUUGAAGUGGUGAACCAAGUCUAGAAAUGAUCUCUUCAGAAGGUAAAGGAACAAUUUUCCAUACCAAAGCAUGCUGAUGGGGAGUUGUUAGGACUUCCCUGCCUGAAUUCACUAAACUCUUCCUGUUCCAGCUCAGGAGAUAAUUGCUGAUUCAAGCUGUCAUAAAGAAAAAACUUGUGAGCUUCUGUGAAACUAACUACAAGAACGCAACUAUUUUAAGAAGUAAAUUAGUUGAGUAUGGGCAAUCUAGAGCUUGAAAAGAAAUAUCCAUGUCUCAUGAAUUGCAGCAUCAGCAAGGAAAUAUACAAGUUCUCAGCAUCAAGCCUAAGAUUUGCAUUUUGCUUAUAACACAAGACAACUAGGAUAACAUGAUUUUUUAUAUGAGCCUGCUUUUGAUUAGAACAAUGGAGAUGAUAUAAUUGAGAAGCUGCCCUUGGAAAAUAACAUGAUGAUUCACAUUACUGCCCUCAAAAAAGGUCUCCUUUUUUCUCAAAUUUGUAAGAGAUUUAGAAUUUAUGGUUCACAAACUGAUGUGAGGUAUAAACACGUUUUUUUUAUAAAAAAAAAUUUCAAGGGUAAAGUGGUCAUUGUAACAGGAAAAGUCAAUUUUGAACAGUCGACUAUUGAAGAUGGAUAAAUUUGCAAAUCUUUAAAAUCUAGAGGGACGUAUUUGAUAUUUUGAUAAUUUAAACUCUGAUGACAAACUACAACUUUGCAGAAAUGUGAAGAAUUUUCCUCGAUGAUGGUAAAAAAAAAAAAAAAUGUACAUAACUGUAACAUAGAGAGCAGCCAAUCAGUUCAACCCAUUCAAUUAGGAAGAUAUCAGCAUUUUGGUUUUCCAAUUAGGUAAUAUAGGUAAUAUCACCAUUGUCGACAAAUUUAAUACCAUUCUAGGAAGUGUUCGAUUCAUCAAAAAUACCUGUCUUGUAAUGUUGAAUAGAGCAUUGUCUACAAAAUGAUAGACAUUUCUGAAGAGUUAUAACAAUCAUUGGAGAAGUUAAAGUCGCCACAAUAUAAUGUCUAAACUGAAGGGGAGGAGAGAGAGAGGCUUGUUUGGGUAAUACCACUGUCUUGCACCUCCAGGGCAGCUGGGCUGAAGCUUAAUUUUCUUGCCGGCAAUAUCGCUCCUGUUUAGAGCUCGAAGAGCAGCAUCCGCUGCUCGUACAUCAUAAAACUCUAUGGAUUUAUGAUUACUUUUGAAUGGAGUCUCACCAAUCUGAAACCAAAGCCAAUGAUUAGUAUUUUGAGAUUAUUUCCUGAGGAAUUAUUUAUUUAUUUAUCUACUUAAAGAGUUCCACUUGUACACAUGGUGCAAGUGUGGGUGCAAGUGUAUACAUAUGUUUGUGCAUGUUAAAUUACAUGAAAUGACUGUUUUUCUCUACAACCUUAAGCUAGUAGAAAAUUGUAUUUUUAUAUGUUUAUAUUUGACACUCUCCCUCACAUAUGGGCUCGAGACUCUUUGAUAGGCUCAUGAAAUGGACUUUAAUUAAAUGGGAGGAAAUCAAUUACGCUCUGGUGAGACUCAAAACUCAGGACCUCUUGCUCUGAUACCAUGUUACUCAAAAGAUCGAUCUAGUAGAAAACAUGUCCAGAAAUAUAUAUUAACAUCUCCACUCACGUGUAGAAUGGAUAUGAAAGGCAUGUGGAAUUGAUAAGUGAGAUAGGAGAUGAGGAUUUAAUCCAUUUUAUAAUGUGAGAAUUUAACCCUUCAAAUAUCAAAGGUGGGGAUUGAAUCCACGACCUCACAAAGUGAAAGAGUUUAGAGUAGGCUCUGAUACCAUGUUAAAUUAUGAAAAAAUCAUUUUUCUCUAAAAGCUUAAGCUGGUAGAGAACAGUGCCUUCAUAUUUUUAUAUUUAACAAUGGUGUGUAUCAAAGAGAGAGAGAGAGAGCAAGAGAGAGAAAGAGUCAGAUUUUACAGGGACGUGCAUGUAUAAGUAAAUGCUUUUGUAGGGAUGAACAUGUAAACGACCUUAGUAUUCUUUGUGAAGCUAAGCAUCAGAGUUGAAAUGAUUACCUCUUUAAUUUCACCAUAAACACAAAAUAUCUGAUGAAGAUCAUCAUUUGUAACAGAUGAAUCAAGGUUACAUACAACGAGAGUUCCUUGAUUUAUAUCUUUCUCUGAAGGAUUUUCCUGAUGAAAAAUAACUGAACUCAGCAAAUGAAAAUGUAUCACAUUAACAGAAGAGCAUGUGAUAUAUCCAUAGGAACUGAAAGUUAAAGUAAAGAGUAAUAUAUAAGUUAAUGAUAUGACAGUUUUACACAAGAUACUAAGAUUCAUUAUAACUUCUAACUUAUAAUGGCUAGGUUUCAUGUCUCACAUUCCAUUCAUAAAGAUAAAUAAGGCAUUCUUUCAUAUAAAAUAGUUUUCGAAACCAGAUUUUUGGCAUGAUACCGGAAUAGCUACCUUCCAAAUCUAUACCAACCGUGAAGAGAGAAAGGAGCCAAUAUCCAUAUAAACUUAUAAAGCUUCAUCAACGCUGUAAAACUCUCAUAGUUUCGGAAGCAGUACUAAUAUAGAAUAUUUGAAGACACCUAGAGAACUAUGGAAUAUUUGAGGACACCUAUCCUAGCAUUCUUCUGACUAGUGCAUAGAACAAAAUUGAUAACGGUACAACAUUUAGAGACAUCCACCUUAAACAACAUCCAUACCUCAUUUUUUAUUGACUAUCAUAUAAAAAAUUUACAAACAUUCUCAAAAGUCUAUCCUAUUGAGUAUGGGGUUGAUUAAUUAAUAAAAUGAUCUUCUUCUUAAGAUAGUAGCUUCUAAAGUUACACACAACAAAAACAGCACACCUUUGAUGGAAUUGUUCGGCCACUUAUAGAGAAAGUCAUCACCAAAAAAGUGGAACAAAUUAAUCAGAACUUAACAAAUUAACGAUCUUCUCCAAGUAGUUAAAAGAAAGUAUAAAUUUAUUAAGGCCGCUACCUUCGGUAUGGAGAAGUGUAUAUCAAGCUUCCGACGUCUCAAUGGCAUGUUCUGAAGUGCCUUCAUUGCGUUCCGGGCAGACCUUAUAUCAUAAUAAGAUAUCAUCACAAAACCACGGUGUUUGCAGGCAGUGUAUAGGGUCCUAAUGUCACCAUAUUGCUGAACAGAAAAGGAUGGAAAUAUUAGGAAAUCCAAAAUUUAACCAUCAAGUAGAAAAAGUUAGAAUUUUUUAAAAAAGAAAGAAAAAAAGAAAGAAAGUAGAUACCUCAAAAAGAGCCCUUAACUCGGUAUCCUCAACAUUACUAUUAAUAUUUCUCACGAAAAGAGUUCUUGAGGGGUGUUCACCAUGAGGGUGUUCACCAGGAAAUGGGCCAUUUGGGCCCACCUGCAGCCCAUUAGAAUCUAACCCACCAUUAAAAUCACAAACACUGCUCCCAAUCACAUUCUCAUCAGCUUCUAGUUCCAGUCCUCCGCCACUGCAGAAUAUGUCAUCAUCAAUGUCAUCCCCACCGUUGGAUCGGCCAAUAUAUCCAAUAUCAUCGAAAACACCGGAUAAUAAAUCAUCAUCAUCGGGAAGGAGAUUUCCAAUAAAUUGAGCUUCAAUCUCUUCCGUGGACUCAAAGGGCUCAUCUUCCUCAUAAUUGGAAUUAACUGUAUCAAUUGACUGACCAAAAAGAACGCCUUUUGUUGCUAAUCUCACUGCACAGACACGAGUCAAAAAGCCAAGAAUAAUUUUGUUACAAUAAGAAUAAUUAAUAUUUAUCAGCUCCUAUCACAGUGAUAAAUACUAUUUAGACACACUCUUUCUGUAAGCAUUUCGAUAAUAACAUCAUCAAACAACAAAUAACAAUAUGAUCAUGUUGAUGGCGGAAAAUCUCUCCAUAAUGAAAGCAAUUAUAAGCAUCAAGAAUGAAACUGUAAAGCUAGAGAGAAGAAGAGAAGAACUCACAAUUAUUAUCAAAUAUUUCUGAGAGCGAGCUUGCACAGAGCCCAUCACUGCAGCAGUUCCCGUUUGGAUCAACUCCAUUUGCUUCAGCAAACACCGAUGCUUUAACAGACGAAUCCCAUUGCGAUCUAGUAUUUGCAUCUUGCCUCAUCAAAGGAUACUCCUGACUAAAUUUGAUUUUCUGUUCCUUAAACAUAUAAGCCUGAGGAAGUUCUAAACUGUGCACAGGAUUUGGCCCCAUGUAAUGAAGCUUUUGUAAUGGAGAUGACGAAACCGACUUGCUUCCUGAAAUUAAUGACAAACCCUCUUUUCCUGCAAAUGAUAGCCAAUCUUCAAGUUAAUGAACUCCUAAGAAACAAAGUUGAUAAAAGUAAUUAUGGCAUUAAAUUGAAUAUUGAUGGCUAAUCUCCAGCUCAUCCCUGCCUAAAUAGAUCGUAAAAACAAUCCCCAGGGCCCUCUACAGUAAGAUAACCCCAAACAUUUCCCAUGCAUGAGUUUAUAUACCCUAUCCAGCAUCUAGCCAUGUGCAUAGGGAAUUCAAAUGCUGGACCCAAUCAAGCAAGCAGGUGGUUUAUGUCCUGGUGGUUCGGUAUGUUACCUUCCAAGUCCAAAUCCAAACAAAAUCUACCCAAAGUUCAGAUUACCAUUUUCGGUUAAACUUGUAAAGUGGUGCAAUGGAGACCAAAAUAGAAAGGCACUCAUAAAAGCAAGCUAGGACGGUCUCUUGAAAGAGAAAGAUAAACCAGUAUGGUCCCCAGAAAAUUAGCUGCAAACCCCAGCCUUGCAUAUAAUCCUUGAAGCACUCAUCCGGCAACAUCAAUUAGAUACGAGCCUAACAACAGAUUUGAGACACCACCUAAUUAUAUGACUUCAAAUUCAAUUGACACUAUUGCAUUCAAUGUGAUAACAAAAGCCGGAAAAAAAAAAAAAAAAAAAAUUCUUGCAUGUUUUUUUUCCCAAAAUAUCACCCAGAACAAACUUUGUUGACCCAAAAUCAGAUGAAGUGUCAAUACUCACUGUGAUGAUCGGGUGAGGACCCCGGUUCCAGAAUCCGACUUGCCUCUGCAAUGAGAAGAGAGAGAUCAAUUAUCAAAAAUCAUAACCUACUUAUAAUACUAAACAAUUGCAAUAAAGUAACAGAAUUUCAGAGAAACUGAAGCCUUUCUUCUCAAAGCACCCACAAAAGAUAACCCCACAUAAUAAGGUGAAUUAUUAGCCUAUCAAUAACAUAGAAAAAGAUAAAUGAACCGAAAACUGCAACCUCGGUAGGAAAGGUGAUAUCUUCAGAGGGGAGGUGGAAUGAGGAUUGAUGCCUCUGAUCUAUGAUCCCAGAUGGCAUCCUGAAGCCUCCGGAGCGCGGCCACAGAAACAAAGUUCAAUCUUUUCCCAAACCCUUCCUAACCUCCCUCGUAUGAUCCCCUUCCCGCCUCUUUCCGCCUUGCUCUCACAAACACCACCUGGGUGUGCAAAUUGAAUCAGAUCGAAGCAAAAUUGCACCGAAUUUCCCGAAAUAUUGUGUGGAAAUUUGGAUUUUUCCUAUGAACUUUUUGGCGCUCAGUACGGAGAAAUUAUUAGGAAAAAUAAACGGAAAAAAAAGGAAUUAAAUGCGAGUCGUUGGCUUCAUCAAAGCAAUAGCAUGCUUAAAUAUACGCCGAUCAUAACGUUCGACCAAAAACGACGAGAGUAUGAUCAUGAAAGACUUAUUGAACUCGCACUCCAUUAAACUACCCCAAAAACUCCCCCCCUUCACCAACCCCUCCCCAUUUCCGAUCGCAAUUCCCAAAUCCACCCAACCUAACCACCGAAUUCUCCAAAAAAAGGAAGCAAACAGGCGCGAGAUACGUACCGGAUCGCUCCUUUUCCGCGCUUCCCCAGCUCGAAUUCGCAGCAAAAGGUGCCAAAGGCGCGAGUUUUAUAGGACGCAACCGCCGUGGUGUGGGGGGAAUGGAUUACGCCAUAAGGCAAGGAAGAGGAAGGCGAAGAAGGAAACGAAGAGGACGAGGAGGAGGAAGCGAAGAGGGGGAAGCGACGAAGGAGCGAAUCCCACUCCUCCGCAUCCGUGCCGUGCGCGCGCGUCCAACUCCACGAUACCCUCCCCUUCCCCCUCUUCGCCCCCCUUCCCUUUCCCCUCCAAUGCAAGCAAUAUACCCCUCCUCCUCCUCCUCCUCCUAACCCUAUCAACCCCUAGAUUAAUUUACUCGCACCUCCCCCAAUUCCGCUUCUACGCUACCCUCCCCCCCUCCCAGUUCGCAGCAUCGCCUCCGCCUCGCCGGAAUCUAUGGCGUUCUCCGGCGAGCGCCGCGAAGGAGAGAGAGAGGAGAGAGGAGAUCGGUGGGGUCGCGUGUCUCUUUGUUUAUUUAUGCAGCGUUGGGAAAAACAGGGAGAGAGAGAGAGAGAGAGAGAGAGAGAGGAGACGAAAAAAGAGCGGGUGGGGAGGAAGGGGACGGAGGAGGACGCGGUGAGUAUAAGCGCGGAGCACCGUACCACCCCCAUAAACACGAGGGCGAGGUUGGGGAGAGGUGACGGAGCGCCGUUAAGUGUUUCCUUAACGGCGUUUCCGUUGGAGACGGAGGCGGGUCGGAGUGGAUAAUAGUGCAUGGACCCAGUCCACCACUCAAUGCUUACAAGUGUACGGACGCCUGUGUGCUAACAAUAAUGUUAGACUUGCUCUAAAAUAUUCAAAAUAUAUAGAAUUUAAAUUUCAUACAUUUUCAAUAUUGAGUACGAUCGAACGGUGUCAAAAUAAAUAGCUAAAAUUUAAAAUAAAAAAGAUCUCGUAAAAAUUAUGAUGCAAUUUAUAAAAUUAGAUCAGAAGUACUAUUUUGAUUUUGAAAGUUUGAAGUGACAAAACAUACUAUUAGACUUAUGAUCACUUAAUUUUGGUUAUUGUAAUUGACAAAUUUAGAACCUUUAAUUAGUAAGUAGAUAAUAUUAAAACAUUAUAAAUUCUUCACAUGUGAAGAUAAUAUUGGAAUAAGAACAUUGCUAUCUAUUUUUUUUUAUAGGAUAUGGAAUCUAAAACAUAUGGUACUUUAGCCACUAGAACCAAUGGUAAUUAGCGAUUUUUGUAUUAUUUGAUGUGUAGUAACUUGUAUUCUUGCAUGAUAAUUAAAACAUUUAAAUUAAAACUUAAUCUAAUCUAGUUGAAUUUUGAAAUACUAAUAUUAGUAAACAAAUAUUUAAAAAAUUAUUCAAAUUUUAGUAUGAGUAAUUAGGUUGGACAGUGCUUCUCUUCCCAUCGUCUGAAAAAACGAAGCAAAAACAUGAAUCCCGUAUUUGGAGGAGUAAAAAUAGGAAAGAGCUCAUAGUCUUUGAUUUUUCAUACUAUCAUCCGUGCUAAUUUAGUUGCAAUAGUAUUACCGUCAAUGAUAAUAUAAGGUCAAAAAAUUAGAUAUUGCAAUCUUAAUUUAUUCGAUCCACUACGCCAAUCGAUUACUGAAUUAUAGUUUUUUUCUAAUACUAUUGGGUAAAAAUUUACACAUAAAAAUCACACUAUUUAUAGAAAUUUAUUUUCGUGCACCGAUUAUUCAUUAUAUUAGUUAAAAGGCUUUAAAUAUUGCAACCCCUAACAUGAAAACCAUUUAGCUGUAGAUCACAUAUAAUGUGUUAAACUUUCAUUGUAAAACCAUUAACUAUUGAGUUUGAGAAAGUGGUCCACGGUGGACCACGGUCCAGGCAACAAUUUCUCCCGAUUUACUUGCUCGGAACAAACUCCGCGGGCGAAAUGACGAAACUGCCCUUGAAUGGCGCUUUCAACGGCGACGGAGACCGUCCGAGUCUCGUCACCGUAACGGUCCAAAAUAAGCGGUGUUCGGACCCGAGUUGGUAAUAAAGUAAUUUACGCAACUUUUAAGGGUGUUUUCGUAAUAGCAGGGGAUAGUUUUAUGCGGUGCCCGGUUUAAGUUUUUUGCGGACACGCCGAGGAUAAAUAUGCGGGUACGGGGACACGUGGCUUAGUCCAGUUGGGUAGAACGUAGUUUCCUGUUAACUGUGACACAGGCGUUUCAGUUAAAUGAACGGUCGCGAUGUGAUAAGGGAACCUAUCAGACGGUGGAUAGCUUAAGGCUUAAUUAUUAUUAUUAUAUUAUUAUUAUUAUUAUAUUAUUAUUAUUAUAAUACACUGAUGCUACCAUUUUAAUCAUUUUAUUCGAUAUUUAGGAAAUUAUUAAUAUAGAAUUAAAACAUAAUAUCUGUUAAAGUCGAUGAAGUUUAAAAAUAUCUUAACUAAUUAAAAUAAAUUUAUAUAAAAAAAAACCUUUGAUGGUGAAAUGUGUCAAUCCAAAAAAUGAAAUAAAAGAGACUUAUUUAAAAAAUAUAUAUACAUAUUUAGUUUCUUUUUGUAUUAUUUUGUGGUAGUUCACGGGUUUGUAUGCGAAGAUGCGGAGGAAUCAAAUGCCAGAGGAUACGGCACAUCGACGCAUUCGAACGCCGAAUUUAAUAAUAUCCACAAUUUUCUUUUUCCGAUUUAAUUAUUUAUUUUUUAUUUAUUUAAAUGGGAAAAAUCCUUAUUCGUACGCAACAUCCACCGUUGGUUUGAUCCGCUGUGUGGAACUUUACCUAAAACGUGCGACCACCCAAUCAGAUACCGCCACGUAAUCUCCACGGACCAGUUUGCUGUUUGGGAUGUGGCAGCGAGAUCGCACGGGGGGGGCUGGCGUGUGCGAGUGCUACACGGGAUGUGGUCUUUUAAUGAGGGAAGUAACUGCAUGGACCCGGUCCACCACGUCAUCACACCCCCUUAUGUUAUAGAAAAACAAAAAAUUGAACGCUACACGAAUGUGGGCUGUUUUUAUUUAUUUAUUUAUUUAUUUACCAGAUAUUUAGAUGCAUGGACUUGGUUCACCACAUCCGCACACCAACACAUUUAAAAAAAGGAAAAAAAAAAAAAAACUUUAUUUGCUUUAAAAGAGUUACAAUAUAUCGCUCACGCUUAUUCUAUAGCUUUAUAUUAGAUGCUUCAAAAGUAUAAAUUCAAUCCUAUUAUAUAUAAGCUACGAUGUAUAAAUCGUCCUCCACGGAUACUUCUCAAAACCAAAGGGACCACCCAAUUAUAAGAAAAGUAUUUCUUUUCUCAUUGCCUAGUGCAAAAAAAAAGGAGUCUUAAUGUUCUAAAUUUUUUACCAUGCAUGUUGUAAUGUUGUAUUACAAGCUAUAACGUGUCAAAAAGAUGAGUUUAGAUUAGAGCGUUUAUUUGGUACUUAUAAAAUAGAGAUUAAGAAACCAUUCUAGUUCUAGUUUAGAAUAGGUGGAUAACUUUUAUAUUCAGCGAGAAAAGUUCCAAUUCAAUUCCGUGGGACAUCGUAAAAGAGUUUAGGAUUUCUAAAGUCUACGGAAAAAUGUCCCAAAAAUAUAAAAAAGGACAAUGUGUGAUUAAUGAAAAACCUAUGGUCCAUUGCAUAACUUAUAUUUGGUGGGACAACUACUCCUUAUCUUAUUUAGGAGUUAGCACCACCUAAUGAGUGUGGGACCAUCAUUUUAUGAUGAUGAUGAUGAGGUUCUCAUUCAAUAUUUUAAAUAAUUAAAUAAAUGUUUGAUCCCUUGAGAAACUACUCACAUUAAUUCUCUCUCUCUCUAGAUCUAAUAUUCAUGUACCCUACUCCUCAUUAAUUAUAAUCCAAUAUAAUUGGGUUUUCACACUACAACAAAAAACGGUCUAUAGCGACACUUUUAAAUAUAGGUACAUGUUAAAAAAGUGCUGCUAGCUAAAAUUACCGACACUUUUAAAAAGUGUUGCUAUAUGUGGAGUCGCUAGGUAUAUAGUGACAGUUAAAGAGUGUCGCUAUAACCUAAAAGAGUGCUGCUAAUUUACCAACACUUAUUUAAGCAUUUAGCAACCGCCGAAACUAUAUCUCGUUGGCUGCGGUGGCGGAGAAGGACGACAGUAAAGGCUCUUCAUCUAGAAUUUCAGUGGAUUGAGUGAAGAGAGAAGAAAAGAUGGUAAUUGAUUUUUCUUUUUUUUUCUUUUCUGUUUGUAAUCGGGCUAAAUGGACUGGGUGUGGUGGGUUGAGUAGCGUAAUUUUUUAUUUUUGGUUGGAUUGGGCUUUAUAUUAAGACAUUAGUAGAUGUGUUUUUAAGUUUUAGUAUAAAUGGGACACUUACUCAAAAGUGUCCCAAACAUGUGUCCCUAUAACUUAAUUCUGUUGUAGUGUCAUUAUAUGCUUUGUACCCAUAGAUGGUGCCAUAUAAUUUCAAUUUUGUUUCUCAAAUUUUAAAUCAAAGAAAAAAGAUUGAAUUUGAACAAAACAACUUGUCGAAUAAUCGACAUCCAAAUCGAGUUAGUCCAAAAUUGUAAAUUUGGGCAAAUUACUUAUCGUACUGAGUUCUUAAUUAGUCAUUGUUCGAUGUUCGAGCAAUAUUCAAUAAUCAUUAUUUAAAGUAGUUGGUUUUAAUUUUGGGAGGCUAUUACUGAGAUAAAGAGUAGAGCGCGCCCUUAGCUUCUCGUCUGUAAUAUAUUGAAUCACAUUUAGUUAGGCUCUCCCUGCAUACGAGGGGUCCUAAAAGCAAGUUCAAAAAAAAAAAAAAAAAAAAAAAAAAAAAAAAAAAAAACCUUCUAUUAAUAUACAAAUUUUAAAAUUUUUUUUUUUUUGCAAAAUGCAAAUGUAGGAGAUGAUAUAGAUGAGGUAGUUGGUUAGCGACAUGAUUUGAUAUCUUCUUGUAUAUAUUUUUAUAAAAGAGAAGUUUGUGUUUUCAUUGGCUUGAGUAUCACUAAUAGCUUGGUGCUAUUGAUAGUAUUUCAACCUAGUUUAUAUAUAUAUAUAUAGAGAGAGAGAGAGAGAGAGGGAGAGAAAGGAGGGUUUGGGGGGAGGGGGGGACGUCACACGUGUCACAUUUUGGUCCCCCAAAUCCUCCUUUAAUGUAGUAGAAAGAAUAAAAAUAGAUAUUAUGAAAUGUGUAUAUUAUAGGACUUAAGAAUCCAGGCAUAGAUGUGAAUUAAUAAAAACUAUAGAUAUAACCUUUCUCUUUCCCUCUCUUUCCCUUUCCUUCUCAAAUAUCUUUCUAAAGCUACAUUUUUUUUAAUGAAUAAACGAAGAAGUUCAUUGCAGAAUUGGCCUCCAAAAUUUAUUAGUUAUUUUAAUUAACUUUUUGCUCGUCACAAAAUGUAUUAAUUCUAACGAAAAUGAUCAUAUUGACAUCAAAAUACUAUUAUCACAUCCGCAGGCGGAUUUUAAAUAUCCGCAAACGGAUUUCAAAUUUUUGGUUGUGGUUUUUCGAUCAGGUUGGGUACGAGAAGUGACCACUUUGUCCUGCAUCUGUCUCGUUUUCGAUCAAUAUCAUUGCGUACUAAAUCAUAAAGACUUUUUCUAACCAUGUAUAGUACCUUUUUUUUUUAUUCCAAUUAUAAUUUCAACUAGAAGAGUACUAGUAAUCCACUUAGCUUUCAUUAUUUAUGCAUCUUUUGUUACUAAAAAUAUUUAAAAAUAGGAAAUUAAUCAUGUAGAUGAUGUUACUGUUUUAUUCCCUUAUUAUCCAACUCACUCUCUAGAAGGUGGUAUUUAUUAUAUUUAAUGAUAGGCCCCUUGUUUAGAAGAAGAAAAUAAGUAACUAAAUAAUUUUAAAAUAUUUUUAAUAAAUAAAAUAUUUAUGAUUGAGUCAAUGUCACCCUGCUUUUAUUUUAUAUAUAUAUAUAUAUAUAUAUAUAUAGAUGGACAUAGUAUAAAAUCAAUUUUGCCAUAUAUAUAUAUAUAUAUAUAUUUUAAUUAGAGGAAUUUUUAUUUUAGGAAAAUCAUUGGUUGGGUGAAAUUGAUGGUGAUGUUCAAGAAUGUAAGGUGGUGUCUUAUUAGUUGCUUACAAUCACAAGGGGUCACCAAAACCCAAUGCUUUUUUUUUUUUCAGAAAAAACUUCAAAAAAAAUCCGUAGUUUUGCACUUUCUCACUUUAAUACUUUGUGGUUUAAAGUGUAUAAAUUUGCCCCUCUGUAGUUUUAUUUUUGUCUUUUUGGCAGCUUUUUUCUUAAUAUUUUGUUAAAUUAUAUACAAAAAACUUCAGAUAUCCAUUUAGAUUUAUCGAAUAUUUACUUUAGUACCCUUUAAUUUUAAUUUUGUCGCCAAUUUAAGAAAAAAAAUAAUAAAAUUGAUAAUAAAAAGAACAAAAUGAAACCACAUGAGGGCAAAUUGAUACACUUUAAACCACAGGAUACUAAAAUGAGAAAGUGCGAAACCAUGGGGGGUUUUUUGAAGUUAUCCCUUUUUUCAAGACCAUUUUGAAAUAUACUUCUCAAUUUUACUUUUUUUUUAAAAAAAUUCAUACCCUCUUAACUUCUAUUUUUGUAAUUUGGGUCUUCUAAUUAGUUAAUAUUAAAAUAUUAACUUUAACUACUAACAGUUAAUUCCUAUUUCUAAGGAAGUUUGUGAUUUCAUUUUCUAUAAAGGAGUGUUUUAAAUUUGACAAAAUGACAAUCCUAAAAAUCAAAACAAUGUCAAAGUUUUUUUUUUUAAAAAAAUUAAGAGGCACAUUUCAAAAUGAGCUUUAGUUAUAUCUUGAUGCAUUUUAUUUAUUUUAUUCCUUGCAUGUACAAUUUUUUUCAUCAAUAUGUGCAAGUAUAUUUUUUGAAAGCACAAAUAGUCGAAAUAUUUAAAUGAAAAAAAAUUAUAGGCAUUAUUGAAGCGAUAUUAUCAUAUUUAACAAAGACAAACCUUGAGCAAUAAUAAUGUUCGUGUUCGCUAAUAUCGAUCACAACAAGAAUAAGAAUAUGAUAGCUUCUNNNNNNNNNNNNNNNNNNNNNNNNNNNNNNNNNNNNNNNNNNNNNNNNNNNNNNNNNNNNNNNNNNNNNNNNNNNNNNNNNNNNNNNNNNNNNNNNNNNNNNNNNNNNNNNNNNNNNNNNNNNNNNNNNNNNNNNNNNNNNNNNNNNNNNNNNNNNNNNNNNNNNNNNNNNNNNNNNNNNNNNNNNNNNNNNNNNNNNNNNNNNNNNNNNNNNNNNNNNNNNNNNNNNNNNNNNNNNNNNNNNNNNNNNNNNNNNNNNNNNNNNNNNNNNNNNNNNNNNNNNNNNNNNNNNNNNNNNNNNNNNNNNNNNNNNNNNNNNNNNNNNNNNNNNNNNNNNNNNNNNNNNNNNNNNNNNNNNNNNNNNNNNNNNNNNNNNNNNNNNNNNNNNNNNNNNNNNNNNNNNNNNNNNNNNNNNNNNNNNNNNNNNNNNNNNNNNNNNNNNNNNNNNNNNNNNNNNNNNNNNNNNNNNNNNNNNNNNNNNNNNNNNNNNNNNNNNNNNNNNNNNNNNNNNNNNNNNNNNNNNNNNNNNNNNNNNNNNNNNNNNNNNNNNNNNNNNNNNNNNNNNNNNNNNNNNNNNNNNNNNNNNNNNNNNNNNNNNNNNNNNNNNNNNNNNNNNNNNNNNNNNNNNNNNNNNNNNNNNNNNNNNNNNNNNNNNNNNNNNNNNNNNNNNNNNNNNNNNNNNNNNNNNNNNNNNNNNNNNNNNNNNNNNNNNNNNNNNNNNNNNNNNNNNNNNNNNNNNNNNNNNNNNNNNNNNNNNNAGGAGCACGGAGGCCUCCAUGCUCCUGAGAGCACAGCAGCCCCGCUCUCUCUAUAUAUAUAUAUAUAUAUAUAUAUAUAUAUAUAUAGAAUUGAGCUCCUAUGCUUUUAAAAGUAUCAAGACAUUGGUGUUUGUAGAUUUUUAGCCAUUGGAUUAAGAGAUAUGCGGUUAGGAUGAUGUGGGCCCUCUAGGGUUGAGUGGUUGGUUGGUUAAAUAGUAUAAUCUAAUGGUUGAAAAUGAUCCAUGGAGUAAAUCUAACGGUAAAAAACUUACAAGCACCAAGUGCUUGGUGCUUUUACAAGCAUCAUAGCUGGACUAUAUAUAUAUAUAUAUAUAUAUAUGCUAGGACUAUUAUACUCUUAUAAGUAUAGAUCCUUUUAUACUUAUAAGUUUUCGACCGUUGAAUGAAGGGAUAUGCGAUUAGGAUGAUAGUGGUCCCUGGUUAUGAUGAUGGCGGUCCAAUAGGAUUGAGUGAGUGGUUAGUUGAAUAGUAAAAUCCAACGGGUGAAAAUGAUCAAAGGUAGAUCUAAUGGCCGAAAAUUUAUCAGUAUAAAAUGGUCUAUAGUAUAGUAGCCGGGCUCUUUCUCUCUCUCUCUCUCUCUAUAUAUAUACUAGUGAAUUACCCGCGCGAUGCUGCGGAUACCCGCGCGAUGCUGCGGAUAUAAAAUUAUUUUUAUAAUAAAUUAUAUAUUUUUUANAUAUUUGAGAAAUGCAUAAGAUAUUUUGGCGGGUAUUACUUUUGAAUAUUUUACUAAAAAAAAUUUAAAAAUAUAAAAUUAUAUUUAAUUAAUAAUUUAGUUUUGUUUAGGUGGGUAUUAAAUCUUUUAGUAAUAUUUUACGUGAUUGGCCCAAGUAUUACGUGUAAGAAGAAAAUAUUUGAAAAACACGGAAAUAGGAGAUAACGGAUAUUUUAAUUUAUGACGCGUUUGAGAAAACGUGUGUGAGAAACAAAAUAUUUAAGGAACCCUGUAGAUAUGAUAUAACGGAUAUUUUAAGUUAUGACGGGAAUUACGUUUGAGAAAAUGCGUAGAUAUUUGUAAAAUGCGUAGAUAAGAGAUAACGGAUAUUGAGGGUAUUUUUGUCAGAAAAAGUGACAGAUACUUUUAUUUUUAAUCGUUGUAUGAGAUCCAAUGGUAAAAAUUUAAGAUCUAUAUUUGAGAAUAAAUUAUUAUUUGAAAAAUUAUUUGAAAUGAAUGGUUGCAAAUUACUGGACAUAAAAAUAUUAGUAGAAAAGAUAGAGGUAUUUUUGGAAAGAGAAAAAAUUUAAAACUCACGCUUUUAUAAGUAGUAUAGAUAGGUUUGUGUGAUUUUAAAAACAAGGUAGUUCCCUAGUAUCAAAAUCAAAAUUAUUUUUGAUGCUUGGGCUUUUGAAUCGACGAUUGGCUUCAUUAGUGUUGAUUUAGAGUAUUAGAAGUAUUUAAAAAAUAAAUUUUAUAAUUUUUCAAUAUUAUUUAUCUGGUAAUCGAAAUGGCUCAAAAUCAAUAAAUUUAAUCAAAAUUAUAGAAUAUAUAUAUAUAUAGAGUUUUGCUAGAAUACUAUCGGUAGUAAACGGCUCGGUUUACUACCGAUUUGUUUUCGAUGAUAGAGCUCCUAAAUUGAUGAUCGGCACCGUUAAACAUGAUCUAAACUAUUUAAACUAUCUGGAAAUCAAAUUUCACACAUUUUCGAUAUUGUGCUCUUGUCCAUCAAGUGAACAGAAAAAUGAAUGGCUGGAAAUGAAUAUCCUUCAAAAAGUGAUGAUACAAUUUUUAUAUUUGAGAUCUAGAGUCUAGAUCUUAUUUUAAAUAGCNCCCUUAUUAUCCAACUCACUCUCUAGAAGGUGGUAUUUAUUAUAUUUAAUGAUAGGCCCCUUGUUUAGAAGGAGAAAAUAAGUAACUAAAUAAUUUUAAAAUAUUUUUAAUAAAUAAAAUAUUUAUGAUUGAGUCAAUGUCACCCUGCUUUUAUUAUAUAUAUAUAUAUAUAUAUAUAUAUAUAUAGAUGGACAGAGUAUAAAAUCAAUUUUGCCAUAUAUAUAUAUAUAUAUAUAUUUUAAUUAGAGGAAUUUUUAUUUUAGGAAAAUCAUUGGUUGGGUGAAAUUGAUGGUGAACAGAUGGUGAUGUUCAAGAAUGUAAGGUGGUGUCUUAUUAGUUGCUUACAAUCACAAGGGGUCACCAAAACCCAAUGCUUUUUUUUUUCAGAAAAAACUUCAAAAAAAAUCCGUAGUUUCGCAUUUUCUCACUUUAAUACUCUGUGGUUUAACGUGUAUCAAUUUGCCUCCAUGUGGUUUUGUUUUUAUCUUUUUGACAAUUUUUUUCUUAAUAUUUUGUUAAAUUAUAUACAAAAAACUUCAAAUACCUAUCUAGAUUUAUCGAAUAUUUACUUUAGUACCCUUUAAUUUUAACUUUGUCGCCGAUUUAAGAAAAAAAAUAAUAAAAUUGAUAAUAAAAAGAGAAAAACGAAACCACAGGGGGUAAAAUUGAUACACUUUAAACUACAGGGUACUAAUGUAAGAAUGUGCGAAACUACAGAGGGGUUUUUGAAGUUAUUCCUUUUUUUCAAGACCAUUUUGAAAUAUACUUCUCAAUUUUACUUUUUUUUUAAAAAAAUUCAUACCCUCUUAACUUCUAUUUUUGUAAUUUGGAUCUUCUAAUUAGUUAAUAUUAAAAUAUUAACUUUAACUAUUAACAGUUAAUUCCUAUUUCUAAGGAAGUUUGUGAUUUCAUUUUCUAUAAAGGAGUGUUUUAAAUUUGACAAAAUCACAAUCCUAAAAAUCUAAACAAUGUCAAAGGUUUUUUUUUAAAAAAAUUAAGAGGCACAUUUCAAAAUGAGCUUUAGUUAUAUCUUGAUGCAUUUUAUUUAUUUUAUUCCUUGCAUGUACAAUUUUUUUCAUCAAUAUGUGCAAGUAUAUUUUUUGAAAGCACAAAUAGUCGAAAUAUUUAAAUGAAAAAAAAUUAUAGGCAUUAUUGAAGCGAUAUUAUCAUAUUUAACAAAGACAAACCUUGAGCAAUAAUAAUGUUCGUGUUCGCUAAUAUCGAUCACAACAAGAAUAAGAAUAUGAUAGCUUCUGUAGUCGAUUAAUUAUACGGUAUCAAUCAUCGAAAAUAAAAUGUACAAAUUAAGCUACCUCCAUUAGACAUCAAAUGAAAAAAAGCCAAAAAAUAUGCUAAUGAAUGUCAUUUCCAUUAUUAGUCUAAAAAAAACAAAAUAUUGCUUACUUCUCUAAUAAUUGAUUGCUUUUGUACAAGUACAAUAAUCAAAUUUGUUUGCUUUAGCAAAGAAUAAUUACUUAUAUUUUGGUUUUCUUGAAGAUGCCUGUGAAUUCGAGAAAUAAUUUAUUUUUAAAAACAACUUAUUACACACGAUUAGUCCACCAGUAGAUUAUAAACUACAUAUCAAUAAUCAUUCUCAACCAAUUUGUUCUUAUGUUUUUCAUCAGGUCUAGGUGAAGAUCGAAAUUUUAAGCGAACGAUUUGGCGGUCAGAGAGGCUGUUACAAUACAGCUAUUACCAAAUUAACCACGAACUAAAUGUUAAUACAAAGCCAAAAAAAAAAGAAAAAAAACAAGAAAAGAAACAAUUUUAUGGGGGUGUUUGGCCUAACUUUUAAAAAGAGCUUUUGAAUUGAAAAGUGAUUUUCGGCUCAAUAGAACGUCUGGCAACUUCACUCUUAAAAUAUGAUUCUGCUUUUUAGAAUCAGAAAAUUAAUUUUGAAGGCCCCAGAAUUAGAAGCAGAAAAAACCUGCUUCUUGAAAUCUGAUUCUGAAUUUAGCCAAACGCUCUACAGCUUUUAACCGAAAUUAUUUUUUCAUAAAUCAUUUUUUCAGAAGCUAGACCAAACAUGCCCUAUUAGACCUCUCGUUUUGAAUUGGGGUCUACAACUUAGGGUGAUAGCUCUACAAUGUUAAAUGUUGUAGGAAAAGAUAAAAUGAUAGAUACAAUAAAUGUAAUUAAAGGAAUUAAUGUGUCACAUUUGGGCUUUGUCCUAUGUUGCUUUUUUUUUUUUAAUAGGCCUAUGUAUUCUAGGGAGGGGCUACACCUAUAGAAGUGCACGUGCAUCGCGUGACAUAAUAAAAGCACAAUAAGCAAACAACUAAUCAAGGGCUUUUGUAGAUCUCAAGCCUCCCUAAGUGAGGAGAGUGGUAAAAAUUAAAUUAUUGUAAGCUAAAUUCAUUUCGCUUAAUGAAUAAAGCAGGUAGCUUGCUAUCUAUUUCUCAAAAAAAAAAAAAAAAAAUUAUAGAAAAAAAAAAGUUAAAAAUUUACGAAACUAAUCUGAACUAUGGUUCAAUUUAAAUCGGCAACCCUACUUUUCAAAUUUUAAUUUUAUUAUCUAAUUUUUUAAUUUGUUUGAUUUGGAUCAGCCAACGACACUUCUACUUCAAAAUAUGAAUACGCCGUUUAUCUUUAUAAGUUCAUUUGUAUACUUCAUGCAAUUCUGAUAACUACAAAUUUAUUGUCGUUGACUGACGCAAAAUAAACAAAUUGAAAAAUUAGGUAGAAAAAUAAAAUUUUUGAAAUAUCGGAUAGUUAUUUCAAAAUGGCCUAUAAUUCGGAUAAGUUUUGUAUAUUUUUACCCAAAAAAUAAUGCGCAUGGUACUCUAGUAACUUGGUAUAUGUAG